UGGAAGCGGAUCCGCUACUUCAAUCAUAUGACCUUUUGAAGAAGGCUUACAACGGGGCGGCUCAGGAUGUCAAUGGCUCAACUCAAAAGUCCCCAAAGUGGUUGAUAUCAAAGAAUGCCAUUGUCUCUGGGCUUGGGCUCCUUGGCAUCAAACAAGGGAAUGUCGACUCUGUUGAAGGGGAAGCAAGGGCUCCUAAAGUGCGAAGAAAGAGGAUAGUCCGGAAGAAGGUGACCGCAUAAAUUUCUUGGGAGUUAAUCCUAGUCAAUAGCCCAAUUUUGCUGCCUGUCGAAGAGAUACAACACGGAAGUCGUCAUCAAACUCUUUUGAGACAUCUAAGAACUAGUAGGGAGGUGUUUCCAGGCAAGUAUAGUUCACUGAUAGAGGGAUUCUUUUCUUGAUGUCUAAAUACUAUAUGUGAUACAACGUCGUAUAUUCCAAUUUUUCUCCAGUUAAAUUCUAGUAAGUUAGAAAAGUUAAUUUUGUUCUAGCGAUGAAUUGUUUUGUUAGGCAGUGUUUACUUUCUGGAGUGAGAGUGAGGAGUGUGGAUUCCUCCCAUUCCAAUGUUUACUUCAACAAAAUAGGUAGGGAUUGGGAAUCCCACUCCGUGGGCCCCACCCAUUUUUGGAGUGGGGAGUGGGAGUGGGAGUCCACUCCCACCUCUCCCUUUUCUACCCUUUAUUUUUAAUUUAAUUUAAUAAAAUAAAAUAAUUUAUAAUUAUAUUUAUUUAGAUAAUAUUAUUAUAUUUAACUAAAUAAUAAUUUACAUUGAUUAUAAGUUAAAAUUACUUAAAAUAAUAAUAUUAUAUUAAUAGAUAAUUAAUAAAUAUAUGCUAUCUUUAUUUAAUAAUAUAAUAUUAUUAUAUUUAUUUUAAAAAUAAUAUUACUAUAUUUAUUUAAUAUUAAUAAUAAUAAAUAGUUCAUUCUAAGAAAAUAUUAAUUUUUUACUAAAUAAUAUUAUAUUAAUAAAUUUAAUAUAAUUAUAUAAAAUAAAAUAAUGUUUCAUUUUAUAUUUACCCUUCUUUUUAUUAAAUUUACUAUAACUAUAUUUAAUAAAUAUUUAAAUAAUAUUAUUAUAUUUAACUAAAUAAUAAUUGGGUUUGAUUCUAAGUUUAAUUUACUUAAAAUAAUAUUAUUAUAUUAAUAGAGAAUUAAUAAUAUUACUAUAUACAAUCUUUAUUUGAAAAUAUAAUAUUGUUAUAUUUAUUUAAAAUAAUAGUAUUGUAUUUAUUUAAUAUUAAUAAUUAAUACUAAUAAAUAGUUUAUUCUAAGAAAAUAUUAAUUUCAUACUAUGUUAAUAGUAAAAAUAUUUCAUUUAUAUUGCCCUUAUCAACAAUUUUUAAUUUAUAUAAUUAAAAUUAAAAAACUUGUGAUGUUCAUAAUUAAGAAUAUUAAUAAUUAUUAUAAAUUUACAAAUAUAAUAAAAUAAAUGUUUAUUCAUUAAAUAUAUUUUAUAUUAACUUUGUAAUUAAAAACUAUAAUUCUUUACAUAAGGAUAAAAUUGUAAUUUGAGACUAUUUACUCCCAAUCAAAGACAAAGUAAACACAUAAAUUGGAUUAUGAUCUCCAUUCCAGUGCAAGUAAACAACCUACUCCCACUCCCACUCCAUACUCCCAAUCCUAGGAUUCACACUCCUCAGGAUUCCCACUCCAAUCCAAAAAAUAAACGCUACCUUAAUAACAAUAAUUGCAUGUUGCUUUGGAAUCUUAUUCACUCUCUGCAACCCAGUUAAAUUGUGCAAAUUCUACUGUAGAUUUGUCAGAGUGUCUUUGUGAUUUCUUUGAUACAAUUUUGAUCGCAAAUUUCAGUUUGAAGAAUCAUGUAAUACCAAAAAACCAUAACAUGUAAUUACUUGAUCAUACUCGACUUCCUAUUUAGUACUACCGUGUUGUUAGGGAUGGCAAUGGGCACCGCCCGCAGCGGGUUUGCCAUUACCAAACCCAAACCCGCACAAAAUUUAAAUUACCAAACCCACCCGCAACCCGCAGCGGAUUUUAAUUUUUUUACAAAAACCCACCCGCAGCGGGUUUUAACAAUUACCAAACCCGCAAUGGUGUCUGGCGGAUUUUUUGUGGGUUUCCGUAUUUAAAAUCACAAAUGUUUAAUAUAUAAAUUUAUAAUAAUAACCUCAAAUUUCAUAUAACAUACUCAAUUUUAUAUUUAAACAAUGUAAAUGAAAAAUUAAAAUUUCCACAUCAAUUCAACACAAAUUCUCAAAUUUAAGUAUAAAUUACACAAAUCCAUUUUAAAAACUCAAACUAGUAUCUAAAAAUAAUAAUUACAUUUCAUAUUAUCAUUUAAAACAAGCUCCAAGAGAAGAUAUUCAUUUCAUUCACCACCAUAAGCACCCAUCCAACACAAUGCCUAUAAUAAUAAUUAAGAUUAAUAUUUUCAAAUACUAAUUCGAAGGAAAAUGCCUUUAGUUGUUUUUAGAUUAUGACUUUAGAAUAGGAGAUAGGCCACAUAUACACAUACACAACGUUGAGCCUUUGGCUAUUUGGUAAUUUGAUUAAUGACAUUAUUUUCUUUAUACAUUUUUAGAUUAAAAUUAAAUUAAAAAUAUUUGGAAAAAAUAUUGCGGGUUUUGUGGAUAUCCAUGCGGGUAUCCACCAGAUAUAAGGUUAAUACCAAACCCACCUGCAUCCAUGUGUGGGUUUUAAUUUAUAAUACUAAACCCGCCCGCAACGGGUAAAAUUACCCGCAAUGGGCGGGUUUUGGCGGGUGGGUUUGGGCGGGUUUGUGGGUUUGCGGGUACAAUUGCCAUCCCUACGUGUUGUAGUUAUAGUUAUUGUGAAAAAGGAACUGAAACUAUAAUAUAAAUGUUGAUCUUGUUUGUAUAUAUGAUUUUUAAAUAAUAAUUUUGGUAAAAUUAAUAAAUGUAUUAUUGAUUUUUUUAUACUCCCAACUUAAUUUUUAAGUCACAAUAAUAAAUAUUUAUUAAAUACUUUGAUACUAUAACUUUAAAACUAUGCUCCGCGGCACUCUUAUCUAAUUUUAAUUGUACUUUCUAGCUCGAUUAUAGAAAUCCUUACUCGAUGUACUUUACCAUACAAGAUGUUACUUUACUUAAUCUUACUCGACUUUAAUUGCAUAUUUUAUAACGAAUUUUUUUUAAAAAAAUUGGUCCCGAUUCCAGCAAAACAGUAACUUCCAUUCAAAAGGGUUCCACGUUGAGUGCAUGUAAUCUGCACAAGUUUGAGAAGAAAUAACCAAAAAAAAAAGAAACCCACGUCCAAAGAUGCCGUUGAAACAAAGGCCUAGACACUGUAUCCCAUCCCCUUUUACCAUAUUUUAUAAUUAAAGAGGCCGUCAUUGAAUUCAAAAAUUAUGAUCCAAAAUCCAAAAAUAGAAGAAGAAUUGGAAACAUACUCGGAGUUUUAAAUUGAUAUGAGAAAAGAAUUUAUCAUUUUUUUAACAAAAAUUUAAGCUAAGACGAAAAAAUAUGCCUAAAACACCCCUCACAUUAUCCCAAAAUUUCUAAACUCCGCCAUUCCUCUGACCAUCAUCUCUCCCAAAUCAAUCUUCCCCCAAAACCAGCCAUGGCUUCAAAUUCAAUCAGCUUAACACUCCAAUAUUGCUUGUAAGCCACCCACAAGUCCUCAACUUCACAUGGACUCAAGACCAAACCCUAGCUUCCUUCCGACACAUCCUCAUUCACUCCAUCAUUACUUACCUCUCCCUCACAUCCAUCCUCUACCACACAUCAACAUCAACAUCACCAUCAUCAUCACCUCUCAUUGGACCCCACAUCCUCAGACCCAUCACAGCCAUCCAUAACAUUUUUCAUUUUGAUGCUGAAUUAUCAUUUCACGGGAUUUGGUUUCCCUGGGUUUUGGGGUUGGUGCUUCAAUACUGUGUUUAAUGCUUCCCUUUUGGCCCUUUUUGUUAAUUUUCAUUACAAGAGCUUUGCUAAGAAAAGAAGCAGAGAUGAUCAAAACAACUAGUAGUUAUCCUUGUUUUGUGUUUUCUUUUUUAAUUUAUUUGAUUUUGGUUAAUUAUGAAUGGUGGUAAUGGGUUCAUUGCCAUUGACAGAGAUGUUUCCAGUUGCCUAAACUUUGUUUUUUUCAAUUUUGGUAGUACGUGUAAUUUGUCACCACAUUUGUUUAGUCUCUCCCUUUCAAAUUCCCUCUCACACAAAAAAAUUCGGAUUUGUAUUUUGUAAACUAACAUUUUUCAUUUUGUUAAUAAAUUAAUUAUUAUUAUCUACAUUUAUGUGAUAGGACACAUGCCACAUCAAUUAAUAUUAGAUCAUGAAUUUUUGCAACCCCAGCAAAAAAAAUUUAUGAAAGAUGUUUAGGUAAGGAUUAUUUUGGUCUUCUAAAGAGUAGAUUAAAAAUCAAUGUUCAAAGUAUUAGAACAUAAAUAAUCCCAGCUUUAAUAAAAUUUUGCCACAUAAUGAUUCUUAUCUCUCAAGAGAAACAUAUAAAUAAAAUGUACAAAGUUAGAAAUAUAGAAUGCAUUAGUACAUGUCAAUAACAAGACCAAUUAGAUCAUGGCAUUACUUAAUUUUAUUUUUAUUUUUUGCUUCUUUUGAAACAAGAUCAAUUAGUUAGAUCAUUGAAAAAGAAGCAGUCAUACAAAGUUUGAAUAUAAAAUUUAUAAUCUAAAAUUAAUGAUGUGACAAUUAACAUGUUAUUAACCUAGCUAAUAGAGUAGGAAGUCCCAAAUACACCAUCUUCUGCUACAGAAAUCAAUCCUACCUAGAAUACUUCUUUUUAUUGAAAUUUAUGAUGAUUUGUUUGUUUGCAUCAUGAAAGUUAAAAAUAAUUUUGUGAGUAAUUUGAUUCUUUACGGUACAAAAAAUAAAUUCGGAAAGUAUUAAUUUCUCUCAUACUUUUAGGGCUAAAAAAUAAAAGUAAGUCUAAUAUAUUUAUUAGUUAAUGAUUAUAUAUCAAUCAUCUCUCAUACUUUUCGAUCUGAUCCAAUCCAAUCUGAAUAUUCUAGCCUAAUCAACCCGAAACCCAAUCAAGUUGAUCUGAACACAAAUUUACCCACUCCUAGCGGGGAUCAUGACCCUACAAGCUUUGAAAAAUUUUGAGGUUUCGAAGUGAAAUAUUAAAAAUUAGGUAUAAAAAGACUGAUUUGGCCCCUAAGCAAUUAAUUUGAGAAUGUUACAUUUUCCAUUUCUCUUUUUGUCGUGACAUAAUAGACUAAAACGGAAUCACAUACUUCUUCAAAUGCCCAAAUGGCUUUGGCCUAAUAAAGUUAUAUAUUGACUGUGGACUAAAACAGAGCCACAACUUUUUCGAAUGACCAAAUGAAUUAAUGAGACAAUGGCGUUUGCCUACCUUGAUAACAAAAGUCGUCGGCCAUAAUCCAUAUAGACAAAAAAAUGGUCCAUACGUUAAGGUUAAAUUGAAAAAUAUAAUAAAUAAAUUUCAUUUGUGAUGAAAUUCGUAAUGGAUUUAUUACUUAGUUAUCUUUCACAUAUUUUCUCUAUAAUAUCAUAUAAGUUAUAGACCACAGCAUGAUAUUUAUUGCAAUUAAAAUCAUUGUGAAACUGAUUUUAUUCUUUUUUUUCUUCUCAAACAAAGUAUCUAGCUAAUUGCAGAUGUAAUAAAUUACUAAUUAACAUUAUUUUAUCUGAAAAAUAUAAUAAAUAAAUUGUCAGGAGAUGAUUUUAUCUGAAAUUUCACUUGCACGGUCCAGGCCACAUACAAAUUUGUGCUGAAAUUCAUAAUGGAUUAAUAUGAUUGGGCGAAAUUACUCUAUAUAUCAUUUCAUCAAUAUCUAUUAAACGAUAAAAAAUUUAUUGAUAUUUAUAAUAAAAAAAAUCUAUCCACUAAGUCUAUUCUAGAUCAACAAUUAAUAUAUUAUAUAUAACUUCAAAAGGUUCAUCGGUGGAUUGAUCUAAGCCUUUUGUUGUAGUUUAUAAAUAUUUUGUUGCUUAUAAUGUAAGAAAUUUUACAGGAGCUGAUGCUGAGUAGUCUGAAUAAGAAAAUUAAUUAUAUUGUAAGAUACUGGGUAUUCAUGAUAAAAUAAAUAAAUAAAAAAUGAAUAAAAAUUUAAAUCCUUAAUUAAUUUUUAUCAAAUUCUUAUCAAAUAUUUAAAAAAGUAUAUAAAAUCAAUUAAUUGAUGGUAUUAUUAAUUUUCAUGAUUAAUAUUAAAUAUAAAUAAACAAUAAUGACAUAAAUUAAAGUCUCAUAAAUGGAUAACUUUUUUUUCCUUAAUCUUAUCCCAAGUCCCAACUAAAGGAAUGUGUAAAUUAGGAUUAUUAAUCCCAUAAUUUUAAGAUUAAACUUAAAUUUAGUCCCUUAGUCCAAUUCAAUUAAGCUUACCAAAUUUGAUAUAAAUAUAUAAUCACAAAAUUAGUCCAAUUCCAUACUUAAUCCUAGUAUCCGACCAUGGCCUGAUAAAAUAGUUUAGGUAAUAUACUUUUAUGACUAGGGUUGGUAGAAAAGCCCGGGCCGGCCUAGGCCCGCAGGCUUUAAGCCCGACCCGUGGUUUGAAAUUAUGGAUAAAGGCUCGUAAUUAAUGAAGCCCAUAACAUAUGGGCUCAGUUAAGGGUCUAAAUGAAAAGCCUGGGCUUAAGCCCAGGCUUUAUAAUAAAUAAUAUAUAUAUAUAUAUAUUUUAAAAAAAAUUGUAUAAUAUAUUAUGAAAUUGAAAUUAAAAAAAAAAUUUAAACAAAACAAUAAAAAAAAUCGGGCAAAGGGCAAAGGUUUUGUCACAACUCACAAAAUCCCUAAAUCGGUAAAUCAAAAUAUCAAAUUAUUCGUGUUUCGUGAGCACCAUUUCGUGAGCAGUGAGCACCUGACAAAAUCUCACUCACUGUCACGGCGUCACCGUGCCGGCGUCUCACUGUUCUCGCCACCGGCAGCCAACAGUAGAGCAUCUCUAGAUUCCAGCAGCGUCGUCCAGCCAGCAUCAGCCAUCAGCGACCCACCUUCCAGCAGCAGUAGCAGCGAGCAUCUCCCGCGUAAGGCCAAUCCCACCGCCCAGCCACCCACCGUCCAGCCACCCAGCAAGGCAGCAACAGCAUCUCCCGCGUGUCGCAGGCUCGCAGCAGUGCCUCCCAGCAAUUUCCAUCAACAUUGGUAAGCAUUUUUUUGUGUCCUCACUCCUCAGUUUCUUGAUCUUUUCUUUGUCCCUUUCAGUGAUCUGGGUAAUGCUGCAUUUGAUCUUUUCAAAGUGGACUCUUUUUGAUCUGUUUGUUGUUCUAAAUUUUGUAAUUUUUUAUAUGGGUUUCGGCCAGUGGAGGAUUUGAUUUGAUUUUUUAUAUGGGUUUCGGCUCAUUUUCUUUAAAGCUUGUAAGUGUUUGUAGGUUGUUAAGAGGAUUUCAAUAGUUAAAGUAGAAAGAUUUGAUUUGUUAGUGAUUGAGAUGAUACCGGUUUCAAUAGUUAAAGGCUGUUAAGAGGAUUCCAAUGAUAUAGAAUUUAUUUCCUGUCUUCAAUUGCAGAGUGUUUAUAUUUCUCAAUACUGUUUAAUUUCCAUAUUCAUAUUAUUUUUCUCAGCCUGUACUAAGGUGAUGUCUCCAUUGUAUAGAUACUGACAUACUGUAUGGAGUUCUGGACAUUGUAAAUUUGUUGUCCUGUCACUCCUGUGCUUGUAAAUGCAGUAUGCGUUUAGUGCAUUUACACUUAGCUUAAUUAAUUUAUUAAUUUAAUAUUUUAUCUCCUUUAAUUUUGUAUAGGUUUAUAAUGGAAAAUGUCUCUGAACCUUCUAAUUUGCCUUCAAAUCUAUCUGUGGAGUCGGAAAAUGUUCAAGAAGAAAUGCGGAGUGAUAAAAAAAGAAAACAGAGGGUUGUUUCAAAUUGUUGGGACCAUUUUACAAAACUAAAUGUUGGUAGUGUAGCAAAGGCAAAAUGCAAUCAUUGUGGAACGGUUCUUUCUUGUGGAUCGGGAACCAGUCAUUUGAAUAGACAUACUAGACAAAUUCACGGUUUUAAUCAACCGACAAAUAGUUUUAUUAAAAAAAAUUUUGAAAAUUCGUAAAAGCCCAGGCCCAGCCCUAGGCCCGGCUCGCCCAAUUUGAAUGGGCUUUGAGAGGGCCUGGACUUUUUAAACUUUAUAAGGGCCUGGUCCUGGGCUUGGCAAAGCCCGGCCCAGACCCUUAAAUUGCCAACCCUAUCUAUGACUCACAAUUUAAAUAAAUUUGAGAAUUUAUAUAAGGGAUGGAAAAUUCACAAUAAUCAUAACAUGUGCUAUCUUUUCUUCCUUUUCUUAAUUAAAUAAAAGAAAAAAAUUAAUGACAGAACCACUGCUGUGUGAUAUCGAUGAAGUCGCAUUCGCCUACCUAAUAUUGCGCAAUCAGAUAGAAAAAAGGGUCGGCUGCAUGAUUUUUCCAACUUUUGUCUUAUUUUUCUCUUUUCCACUACAAAUUAAUUUGAGAAUGUUAUAUUUUCCAAUUCUCUUUUUGUCGUGACAUAAUAGACUAAAGCGGAAUCACAUACUUUUUCAAAUGACCAAAUGGCUUUGGCCUACCUGAUAAUAAAAGGAAUGGAUCCAUACGUUAAAGCUAAAUUGAAAAAUAUAAUAAAUAAAUUGUCAGGAGAUGAUUUUAUCAAAAGUUUCACUCGCACGGUCCCGACCAAAUACAAAUUUGUGAUGAUAUUCAUAAUGAAUUUAUACAAUUAGGCGAAACUACUCUAUAUAGUUUCAUCGAUAUAUAUUAGACCAUUACAAAUAUACUAAUAUUUAUAAUAAAAAAAAUUUAUGACUAUUUUAAAUCGACUGUAUUAUAUGUGAAUUCACAAGAUUCAUAGAUAGAUUGCACUGAGCUUUUUGUUGCAGUUUACAAAUAUUUUGUUACUAAUUAUCUUAAGAGCAGCAAGUAACUAAGAAAUUUCACAAGUGCUGAUGCUGUGUACUCUGCAGAAUUAACAAUGAAUUAUUAUGAAUCAGAGAAACAGGGCAGACACUGUACAAUUAUUGACGUGGUGGAGCAGAAAGCUAGCCCCAGACAGUGACUCAUGUGGGGACUCCUUCAAUUUGCAGCACAAAAGAACGUUCACAUUGACAUUGACUUGAGGGUAAAAAUUAAAUAACUCCUAUGGUAUAAGAAGAAUGCAAACAUGCUUGAAUGAACAUUCUCACAGAAUACAUAAAACCUACUUUCCUCUGAGCAUUUUAGCAAGAAAAGCAAUUGCAUCAUUUAUCAUUUGAUCUAAUAUCAGAAUGGCUCAUGCAAUCGUUUCCUCUCUCCUGGACCAGCUGAAUUCCAUUGCUCAAGGUCAGGUGAAAGAAAAGUUGAGGCUUGUGACGGGUGUCGAACAAGAAGUGGGUAAGCUUACCACCAAUCUUCAAGCCAUUCAAGCUAUGCUGGAAGAUGCAGAGCAGAGGCAAAUGAAGCAGGACAAAGCUGUUACGUUUUGGCUGGAUCAGCUCAGAGACGCAUCCUACGACAUGGAAGAUGUGUUGGAAGAGUGGAUCACUGAAACACGGAAAUUGCAGCUUGAUGAGGGCGGCGAUGAUGAUGAUGAUGAUAACGACAAUGCUUUUGUUACUCUUUUGACGAAGGUAUGUUCCUUCUUUCCUGCUGCCUCAAACUGCUUUGGUUGUUUCAAACAACUCAGUCUUCGUCAUCAUAUUGCUGUCAAGAUUAGAGAAAUCAGUAAAAGGCUAGAUGAAAUUGCCACUCGAAAAGAUAGGUUUAAUUUUGUUGAGAAUGUGAGUAACAAUGUUAGGAAUCCAGAGCGAGUGCGAACCAUCUCCUUGAUUGAUGAGAGAGAGGUUUACGGUAGAGUUGAGGAGAAAAAUGAGCUCUUAAGCAAGUUGUUGUGUGAAAGUAGUGAACAACAAAAAGGCCUUCAUGUCAUUUCACUAGUUGGGUUGGGGGGUAUAGGUAAAACCACUCUUGCACAAUUGGCGUAUAAUAAUGAUGAGGUGAAAAUAAAUUUUGAAAAAGUUAUAUGGGUGUGUGUAUCGGACACUUUUGAUCAGAUUAGGGUUGCCAAAGCAAUCAUUGAAGAUCUAGGUGAGUCAGCUUCUGGUUUAAACGAAUUCCAAUCUCUUAUGAGCCGUAUCCAGAGUUCAAUUAAAGGAAAAAAAAAUUUUCUUGUCUUAGAUGAUGUAUGGGAUGGGGAUUACAAUGAAUGGGAACCAUUCUUCCUUUGUCUAAAAAAUGGUCUCCACGGAAGUAAAAUUUUGGUUACCACACGUAAUGAGUCAGUUGCACGUAUGAUGGGAUCAACAGAUAUUAUCUCCAUUAAGCAAUUGGCUGAAGAGGAAUGCUGGUCAUUGUUCAAGCAGUUAACAUUUUUCGGUCGUUCUUUUGAGGAUCGUGAAAAAUUAGAACCAAUGGGGCGAAAAAUUGCACACAAGUGCAAAGGCUUGCCUCUUGCUGCAAAGGUAAUAGGGAAUCUCUUGCGCUCUAAAAGUACAGUAAAAGAGUGGCAAAGAAUUUUAGAGAGUGAAAUGUGGAAAGUAGAAGAGAUUGGGCAAGGUCUUUUAGCUCCUUUGUUGUUGAGUUAUAAUGAUUUGCCCUCCAAUUCUAUGGUAAAACGGUGUUUCUCAUAUUGUGCUGUCUUUCCAAAAGACUACAAUAUGGAUAAAGAGGAAUUGAUUAAUCUGUGGAUGGCUCAAGGUUACCUUAAUGCAGAAGAAGACGAAGAGAUGGAGAUGAUUGGGGAAGAGUGUUUCAACAUUUUAGCAACACGCUCUUUCUUUCAAGAAUUUAAGAAAAAUGCUGAUGAUGAUAUUAUGAGUUGUAAGAUGCAUGACAUAGUACAUGAUUUUGCCCAAUUUGUAAGUAGCAAAGAAUGUUUGUGGGUAGAAAUUAAUGGUACCAAAGAAUCAGUCAUAAACUCUUUUGGUGACAAAGUCCGUCACUUAGGGUUAAAUUUUCAAAGAGGCACUUCAUUUCCUAUGUCCAUUCGUGGACUUGAUAGAUUGCGUACCCUCCUAAUUGAUGAUGGAAGUCUGUCUCUUAGUAGUAGCAUCCUUUCGGAGUUAUUUAGUAAAUUGGCGUGUUUAAGGGCAUUAGUUAUAAUGCAAGGUUUUCAUCCUGAGACAAGUAGGAUUAGAGAAAUUCCAAAAAAUGUCGGAAAAUUGAUACAUUUAAAAUAUCUUAAUUUGAAUAGACUAUGUAUAGAGAUACUACCUGAGACUUUGUGUGAAUUAUAUAAUUUACAAAAGCUAGAUAUUAGUUGGUGCCGAAAUCUUAGAGAAUUGCCAGCGGGGAUUGGAAAGUUAAAGAACAUGAGGAGUUUACUGAAUGAUAACACUUAUUCAUUGAAGUACAUGCCGAUAGGGAUUUCCAAAUUAACCAAUCUUCGAACAUUAAAAAAGUUUGUGGUGGGUGGAGGUGUUGAUGGUAGCAAUACGCGUAGGCUUGAAUCUCUGAAAAAUCUUCAACUCCUUCGAGAAUGUGGAAUAGAAGGGCUGGGUAAUGUGUCCCAUUUAGAUGAGGCUGAGAGGUUACAACUUUACAAUAAGAAAAACCUCCUUCGUUUGCGUCUUGUGUUUGGUGGAGUCUUACAUGGGGAAGGCGAGAAAGAUAAACAACUUCUUGAAGCCUUACAACCGCCUUUGAAUGUAGAGGAAUUAUGGAUUAUGUUCUACCGAGGCAACAUUUUUCCCAAAUGGUUGACUUUGCUAACCAAUCUAAGGAAUUUAACACUUUCCUUGUGCAUUAACUGUGAGCAUUUGCCUCCUUUGGGAAAAUUGCCUCUGGAAAAACUCAAACUAUGGAAAUUAAAAAGUGUAAAAAGAGUGGGUAAUGAGUUUUUGGGAAUAGAAGAAAGCAGUGAGGACGACCCAUCUUCAUCUUCAUCGUCAUCAUCAGUUAUUGCCUUCCCCAAAUUGAAAUCACUCGAAAUUGUAGCAUUGGAAGAAUUGGAAGAGUGGAAUUACAGGAUUACGAGGAAGGAAAACAUCUCCAUCAUGCCCCGUCUUUCUUUCUUAAAAGUUGUUUUUUGCAACAAAUUAAAGGCGCUGCCGGAUUACCUUCUUCAAACGACGGCACUGCAGGAACUGCGUAUUUUUUCUUGUGAUCUUCUAGAAGAACUGCCCAUUCUAGAAGAUCGCAGGACAACAGACAUACCACGUCUUUCUUCCUUGCGAAUUUCGGAUUGCCCCAAAUUAAAGGUGCUGCCGGAUUACCUUCUUCGGACGACGACGCUGCAGGAAUUGACAAUUUGGAGAUGUCUCAUUCUGGAAAACCGUUAUAGAGAGGGGGAAGGAGAAGACUGGUAUAAGAUAUCCCACAUUCCCCACAUCAAGUGGUCGCCGUAAGAUAUCACUCGCCGGUAAUUUCUCCUCCUCCUCUGAUUUACUUCGUUGUUGCUUGCAAUGAAAUUAAUAAAAAUAAUUAUAUUUUGAAUUAAAAUUCUAUAUAGAAUCAAUCAUGGUAUAAAUAUGUAAAACUUCCUAGUUAUCAAAUCUGUUAAACUUGUUUUCUAAAGAUUAAAUAAUUAAAAAAAAACCAAGUGUAGUAUGUUGAAAUUUCUAUAUUUUCUUUUAAAAAAUUUGUGCUCUUUUAUAAAAUUUGAUACAACAUCGUAGAAAAUCCCAAUGUAAUUUAUUUUUUAAUGUACGAAAAGUUGUUAUGUGUAACUUCCUGAGAGAAAAAAUCUCUGUGAUACAUUUGCAGUAAUGUUGAAAACUAAAUUAUCAAUUUUAUCUUGUAUAAUGAUAAUCGUAUUUUUUUAUAUAUAAUUUAUGUGACAUUAAUUCUUUAAAGUAAUUGUGUAAUUGUUUUUAGUAGUACAUUAGCCCACUUUGUUUUAUUUCAUACGAGUUUAAUUAUGUUCACCAGGGAUUCGAGGAAAUGUCAGAACCACACUAGCAAUUCACAGGUCCAAUCUAAUUUGGUUUUAAUGAUGCAGGCAGGAGAGUAUUCUAAGAAAAUGAAAAGUUUAGCCAAAGGAUUGCUAAAAUGUUCUGCUGGUAAUUCACUUGCUUUAUUUUAUAGAAUUUCAUUUCCAUCUUCUUCUAUUGAUAUCUUGUUGUGAAUAAACAAGAACAGAGAAGUAAAUGAUUGAACCACAGAGAAGUAAAGAUAUAUCCAAAUUCGAUUAUUAUGAUGAUUAAAGCAAGCUCAAGCUCACGCAUUGCAUUUUUUAUUUUAUUUAGUUUAUAGAAUUUUCAUUUCCACCUGCAUUGCAUUUUUAUUUCAUUUUUAGGUUGACGUUGAAGACUCUAUGGAAAACAUUGGGGUAACCAAGGAUUAUCACUGUGGUUAUUGUGCAACGUUUGGUUGCUGGACUUUGAAGAAGGAAGUGAUGGCCGGGUCUGCUCUGUUUCAAUUGAGGAUGGAUAGCUGCCUGAAAGACAUGAUGAUUAUUAUUGCAUGAUGUUUAGGUGCUAAGAUAAUCAUUUAUAUCUUGCUUCAUUCUUGGAAUCAUUUAUCCUAUAUAAACAUAUUGAAUUGUGCUAAUAUUAUCAAUUUUUUCACCUAAUUUUCACUGUUGUUGUGAAAAGAAUUUCAGGCUCUCAAAAGCUACAAAGCAAAGCAUUUGUGGGCUGAUCAUAUGUUUCAAUUGAGGAAGGAGCUUGGUGUUGGCAAUAUUGUCCAGGUAACCACAGCUGAUAAUUUCCACAAAUUUGCAUUGUCAGAAUACACUUUAAUGUUCAUGGUGUUCCUCUGUGUUAUCAGGUUAUCGUGGUAUGUAAAGUAUCAUCUUUAAGGAUUUGUAAUAGACUUUGCAUUAAACUUAGUUGUCACCAGCUCCUGCAAUUGCUCACUCAUUCAAGAGUACUUCAAAAUUAGAUUUUCAAGGUUUGUAUGUUUAGUUGUGAUCAAAAUGUUUAGUCACUCAUUCUUAAUCUUUUCUGAUUUUCAAGUUCUUUAGGGUCAUAAACAGUUUUCCAACUCAUUCUUAAUUUUUAGGUUGAUUUCGAGUACCAUGUUGAGGACAUUCCUGAGACCAAGGAUUAGGCUGGCGAAGGAACCACUACCUCUGUUGUUAUUGUGCAAGGUUUGAUCAUUGGACCUUGAAUAAGAAUCCCUUACACGCAUUCUGUAAUUGAAGCGUUCUCUAAAGCAACAGAGCAGUUGAAGGAAUAGUGAUGGCCGGAUCUGCUCUAUCUUAAUUGAAGAUCUCUGUGAUGUUGAGGAGCUUAAAGCAGUUGUUGCUUUUUGAUUCCUGAAGACGAGUAUCUAAUGAUUGUUAAGGCGUAUUUCAUGAACUUCCUUUCUUAACGAAUGUUUCAAUGCUGGCUGUAGUAACAAUUUCAUAUCUUGCAUCUCUCGGGUGCAUCAUGUUCACGGGUUUGAAAAAGCAUUUGUGGUAAUGCUUCAAAGCUUGUACAAUGGCUGUGAAAAGGCACAUUCAAUUAGGUACGUUUUGGUGCGGUCUCCCAAUGCUAAUAUUAUAUUUUGUAUAGCAAUUAAAAUUUAGCUAUACAAUCUUAAUAUGCAAUAAAUCAUUGUAUACAAAGUUUUCUAUUAAUUAUAUGGUGACUGAAAUUUUAAUUAUCAUAUAUCAAUUUAAAUUUUUUUGUUACUCUCUUUUACUUUGCUUGUACAGAGUACCUGUUUUGGCUGAUAUGUCUAAUUCGUAGAAAUUCAUUUCCAUCGGUUUCCAUUGGCUUUAGCACAAACCGAAACAGAUCUCUGGGGAAAAGUUUUACUUCUUGUGAUAUUAUGCCUUUGUUUCUUCAUUCAUCAUAUUUUUCGAAUUCAUGCUCUCAUUCAGAGGGUAAAGCCUUUUUGAUGCAGCGGAAGUUUAAUGUUCAAAAUAUUCCGUUGAUUCUAGAGAAUACCGGAAUAAAAGAACAACUAAAUUCACGUUGAUUCAAAAGAAUACCGCGAACUUAGGGGUUAAGACUCGUUGAUUCAGAAUACCGAGAAUUAACUAUUCAAAUACUCACAAAGAGAUUUGAAAAUUGAAAUAUUAUUGAACUCAAAAUUCUCUACUUGUAAAAGUUACAAAAGACACUUAUUUAUACUAAAUAAGACUUAUCCUAAUAUGAUUAGAAAACCUAUUUUAAUAAGACUUAUGCCUAAAUUAGGAAUAUUAUCCAAAUAAGCAAUACCUAAACAAUAAGACUCUAAAUAGGAAACCAAAUUAAACUAGAAUACAAAUUAAUUAAAAUAUUCCUAAAUAUUAUACAUUUAAAUAUAAUUAGGAUUUCUUCAAUUUCUUGCUAUGCAUCAUUCCCGCCAGGUUGGAGAAAAUUCGUCCUCGAAUUUUGUAUAUUGUAAUCUUCAAGAAUAUCUUCAUGUGCAUAAGGAUUAAUUUUUAAAACAGAGCUUUGACAUAGACGACGAACUUUAAAUUUUCCAACUUUUGUAAUAACGUCCAUCCAAUCACUCCAAUGGCGUAAAAUAAAUUCUUCUAUCAACAACUUCUCCAAUAAUGUCUUCUCAUAUUGUUCGUGUCGAACUUCAACAUAGUUAAGGAAAAAUGAUUUUUUCUUAUAAUCCACUAACUGUUGAAAAAUAUCACAACUCUUUUUGUCUUCUUUCGGCAAAUCAAGAGAACAAUAAGAGAUUGUAUCAAUAACUAUCUCUCUCUCCUCCACAAGAUCAAAAGAUGGAUAAACAAUUACCUCUUCUCGUCCCACAAUAUCAAGAUUCUCAUCAAAUUUCGGCGAUUGAUCCAAAUCAAUAUUGUCUUUGUGUUGAGGAUUUGUUGUAGACAUGAAUGGCCAAUUAAUAUUCUCCUCGGAAGGAAUAAUAUUGUCGAAAGGAACAAAGUUACAAUUUUCCUCAUUAUCUUCAUAACAAACAUCACCGUGAACAACUUCAUCAAAUCCAUAUGCAUGCUUUAUGUGUAAAGAUUUUCUAUCUCGAAUUUUCUCUAAAUCUUGAGAAAUUGAACGCAAAAUCCUCAACAUCUUAACUAAAACAUCUCUCAAGAUGAAAUCUUCACGUCGAUAUUGUGAUUUCAUGAUAUAAUUUUUUUCUUUUUUUUUUCCUAUGCUUUUUUUUGGUGUUGUUUGGGUUUUUUUUUUUUAAACUAAACGGAAAAAAACAAAAAAGGAAAAAAGGAAAGGUUUGGUGGUAGAUGGAGUUAGAUUGGUGAGACCAGGUUUUGGCUCUGAUACCAAGCUGAUGCAGCGGAAGUUUAAUGUUCAAAAUAUUCCGUUGAUUCUAGAGAAUACCGGAAUAAAAGAACAACUAAAUUCACGUUGAUUCAAAAGAAUACCGCGAACUUAGGGGUUAAGACUCGUUGAUUCAGAAUACCGAGAAUUAACUAUUCAAAUACUCACAAAGAGAUUUGAAAAUUGAAAUAUUAUUGAACUCAAAAUUCUCUACUUGUAAAAGUUACAAAAUACACUUAUUUAUACUAAAUAAGACUUAUCCUAAUAUGAUUAGAAAACCUAUUUUAAUAAGACUUAUGCCUAAAUUAGGAAUAUUACCCAAAUAAGCAAUACCUAAACAAUAAGACUCUAAAUAGGAAACCAAAUUAAACUAGAAUACAAAUUAAUUAAAAUAUUCCUAAAUAUUAUACAUUUAAAUAUAAUUAGGAUUUCUUCAAUUUCUUGCUCUGCAUCACUUUUCCAGGCUGCUUUGUAGCCAAACUUUGACGCCUUUGAUGCAUGACUGUCAUUUAGAUUUUCCAAAUAACUGUUAGAUUGGAGAAGAAUAAGAAGAUACUGUUAAAAGGGUAUUUAAUUAGCGCCCUCUGAAUUUCUUGGAGUUAAUGUAGUCAAUUGCCCAAUUUUGCUUCAAACUCUGAGACACCUAAUAAAUAGUUGGAGGUGGUGGUAUUCGCCUGGUGUUAAUUUCCUGGCAAGUAUAGUUCACAGAUAGAGGGGUUCUUUUCUUGAUGUCUAAUUACCGUAUGUGAUACAACAUCGUGUAUUCCAAUUUUUCUCCAGUUAAAUUUUAAUACGUUAGAAAAGUUAAUUUUUUUUUAGCAAUGAAUUGUUUUCUUAAUAAUAAUAAUUGCCAUGUUCCUCUGAAGUCUUAUUAAUACCAGACCACCAACUACUAGGUUCAUCUCUCGUUCACUUCCUCAGGGAAUCUCGAGGGCAUUCAUUGGCAGGUAGUCUUUCUUGUUGAGCUCCUGGAAUUACUUUUAAUUUAUCAUUUGUUGGGUUUUGCUUUUUGAUUGCUUUGGGAUUUGUGUUAUUAUCGCUUUGUCGCUCAUUAAUCUUGGCUGUUUUGAAUCUGUGUUGGAUUUAGAAGUUUGGAGUUGAAAACAGUUAAAGCUUAGACUAGUAGAAGAGAUUUAUACAUUCAUUUAUCUUGGACAAAGUUUUUGGGGGAAAAAAAAAUUAUAAGUAUACACUUUCCAAUGGUUCGGUGAUGUUUGAUUGGUUUAAAGAUGUUGGAUCUCUCAUCAGAUUUCUUAUGUAUCGACUGCUGUUGCCACAGGAUGCUUGCAGAUCCUGCUUUUUUGUAUAAACUUCUACUAGAGCAGGCUGCCACAAUUGGUUGCACUGUUUUGUGGGAGUUGGAGAAUCAUAAGGAGAGGUGUGUUUUUUCUCUCAUAACAAAGGAACUCUUCCCUUCCUUUUUAUUUUCAUCUUAUAUAUUAAGCUAAUAAAUGUUUGCUUCUGUCGUGAUGGGAUAAAGCAAGAAUGGGAUCAGCUUAGUUUUGGUGCUUUCCUUGGACUAUAUGCAAACAUGAGAUAUCAGCUAUUGUGUGGAUUUGAUAGAGCGGUCAUCAACCAUUUUGAUGUUACCAGGUUAUCUCUCCCUCUCCCUCUUCUACGCAUUUGUUUAUUGAUCUACAUCUCUAUAUACAUUGAUAGACUAUUCUGGACGUACCAAAUUACCCUUGUUUUAAUGUUUUGCCUGGGGAAUCUGUUUAUUUGUCUGAUAAGAGGUUAGUGUGGUUUCUAUUGAAGUGUGUAGAUCUAUCACCAAGUAUUAUUUCAAUUUUUCUUUACUUAAUCAACUUGCAUCCUUUCCAAGUCCAGAUCCUUAACAAUAGUGCGACAUCGCUACAGAAGUACAAUUUCUCUAGUUUGACAGUUAAAUACGUAAGAAUGGUUUUAAAUUAACUGAACUCUGUGAUAGUUCUCUAAGGAAAUACAAGUGGUGAAUCCGGUUCCAACUUUUAAGUGCCUUAAUUUACCCAUUUGUUCAGCCCUGUGUGUAAACAAUCAGUAAUUGUUGUCCAAAUUAUACUUUACUGCCUAUAUGUGUUGGACUUUGUCUAUUGUUCAACUUCUCAAAUGGAUUCCAUGCAGGGUUCUUAAUGUCCAAUUAGGAGAAAGAUCAAGGCUUGCUUGGCUAGGAGUGGAAGCGGAUCCGCUACUUCAAUCAUAUGACCUUUUGAAGAAGGCUUACAACGGGGCGGCUCAGGAUGUCAAUGGCUCAACUCAAAAGUCCCCAAGGUGGUUGAUAUCAAAGAAUGCCAAUGUCUCUGGGCUUGGGCUCCUUGGCAUCAAACAAGGGAAUGUCGACUCUGUUGAAGGGGAAGCAAGGGCUCCUAAAGUGCGAAGAAAGAGGAUAGUCCGGAAGAAGGUGACCGCAUAAAUUUCUUGGGAGUUAAUCCGAGUCAAUAGCCCAAUUUUGCUGCCUGUCGAAGAGAUACAACUCGGAAGUCGUCAUCAAACUCUUUGAGACAUCUAAGAACUCGGAGGGAGGUGGUGGUAUUCAGUGUGUUUCCUGGCAAGUAUAGUGCAGUGAUAGAGGGAUUCUUUUCUUGAUGUCUAAAUACUAUAUGUGAUACAACGUCGUAUAUUCCAAUUUUUCUCCAGUUAAAUUUUAGUAAGUUAGAAAAGUUAAUUUUGUUAUAGCGAUGAAUUGUUUUCUUAACAAUAAUAAUGGCCUGUUGUUUUGGAAUCUUAUUCACUCUUGUAACCUAGUUAAAUUGUGCAAAGUCUACUGCAGAUUUGUCAAACUGAGUGUCUUUGUGAUUGUUUUGAUACACUUUUGAUCGCAAGUUCAAGUUUGAAUCAUCUUGUAAUGCCAAGAAAACCAUAGCGCUAUUAGUUACUAGAUCGCACUCGAGUUUUUGUUUGACUUUUAACUACGAGAUCAGCUUUUAGUAUUAGCUGUAGUUAUAAUAUAAACGUUAAUUAUGAAACUCUUACCAAAUUUUAGUUGUACUUUCUAGCCCGAUUGUAGAAAUCCAUACAAGAUGCUACUCAAUUUUACUUAAUCUUACUCGUCUUUGAUUUGUAAAUUUUAUGCCUAAAUUUUUGUCAACAAAUUGGUCCCAGUUCCAAGGUUCUUCAGCUUGGGUGAUCCCAGCAAAACCAUUACGUCCAUUCAAAAGGGUUCCACGUUGAGUGCACGAGAUCCACAAGUUUGAUUGGGCAGAAAUACCUGAUGAAAAACCUGAUGAAACCCACGUCCAAAGAUGCCUUUUGUUGCGGAGGCCUAGACGCGACACCCCAUCCCCUUUUACCAUAUUUUAUAAUUGAAGAGGCCAUUAUUGAAUUUAAAAAUUAUGAUUCAAAAUCCAAAAAUAGAAAAAGAAAAACAACCGUUGGAAACCACUCGAAAUUUUAAGUUGAUAUGAGAAAAGAUUUUUUCAUCAUCAUCAUUACUAUUAUUUCUUUUUAACAAAAAUUAAGCUAAGACAACAUUAUAUACCCAAAAUACCCCUCACAUUAUCCCAAACUUUCUAAACUCCCCCACUCCUCUCAACAUCAUCUCUUCCAAAUCUUUCUUCCUCCAAAAAGCAGCCAUGGCUUCAAAUUCAAUCACCUCAACACUCCAAUAUUGGCUUGUAAACCACCCCAAAAUCCUCAACUUCACAUGGACUCAAAACCAAACCCCAGCUUCCUCCCCACACUUCCUCAUUCUCUCCAUCCUCACUUACCUCUCCCUCACAUUCAUCCUCUACCACAAAUUAACGCCAACAUCACCAUCAUCAUCACCUCUCAUUGGACCCCACAUCCUCAAGCCCAUCACAGCCGUCCAUAACCUCACCCUCCUCCUCCUCUCCCUCGUCAUGGCCGUUGGUUGCACUCUCUCCAUCGUCCUCCAUUCACCCAACCUCCGUCACACCCUCUGUUUCCCCCCCACCAUUUCUGCCUCCGGUCCCCUCUUCUUCUACGCUUACAUCUUCUACCUCUCCAAAAUACUCGAAUUCCUAGACACCCUUUUGAUCAUUUUGUCAAACUCCAUCCAACGGCUCACGUUCCUCCACGUCUACCACCAUGCAACCGUCGUCGUAAUGUGCUACCUUUGGUUACAGACGAAGCAGUCUUUGUUUCCUAUCGCACUUGUCACCAAUGCAAGUGUGCACGUGAUCAUGUACGGGUACUAUCUAUUGUGUGUGAUGGGGUUGCGGCCAAAGUGGAAGAGAUUGGUCACUGACUGUCAGAUUGUUCAGUUCGUGUUUAGUUUUGUUGUUUCAGUUUUGAUGCUGUAUUAUCAUUUUGCGGGAUUUGGAUGCUCUGGGAUCUUGGGUUGGUGCUUCAAUGCUGUGUUUAAUGCUUCCCUCUUGACACUUUUUAUUAAUUUUCAUUCCAAGAGCUAUGCUAAGAAAAAGCAGGGAUGAUCAAAACAAAUCGUCGUUGUGAUUGUUCUCUGUGUGUGUUUUUUUUUUGUGGUUAAUUAUGAAUGGUUGUGAUCGGUUCAUUGCAUUUGACAGAGAUGUUGAAGGGUUAUGUACUGGAAAAUAGAAAUUAAACCAACAUUAUCACUAUAACUGGUACAUUAUUACCAUCACAGAUCAAGAUCUGAAUGGACGCAUAGCAGCCAUCCUCAAAACCAAAGGAGGAGAAAAUUGAACUAGAACAACCACCUUAAGGUGAAGAAGGCCAGAACAAGACACACAUCCUCAAAUCAUAAGGAAGAGGUGGGUGCAACCAAAAAAAAAAAAAAGAAGAAAUCAAGAAUCCACUGGAGAAGGCAAGAAAGAUUUUUGCCUCCGAAGAUUCGGUGAGGAAGAGAUGAGGAGUUUGGAGCGGAAAAGUUUUCGGAGAGAUCUGCAGAUUAGCUUUAAAAGUGUGUUUUAAAGAAAAAGUUGUUGAGAACUUGAGAGGAUACAUAUGCAAUCAAAACUUUACUCUUCAUGUUUGUGGACUAUGUGGAAUGUUUAUCCACUGAGUGUAAUCGUGACGGUUGGAUUGAGUGAUUAAAAUCACACGGCUGAUAUUAGUUGGUUCUAUGUUGGAGUUGAUCCAACAUAGCCGGAGCCUUUAAAUAAAAAACAUUACAACUCAUGCAUCCAAGCACUUAAAGUUGGCUUGAGUGCAUGGGUUGUUGUCAGUUUUCUUCCUAAUUAAAUUAGGUAGGGAUAAAAUUAUCUCUUUAUUAAUAAGAAUAAAGUAGAUAUCUCUCUCGAUUUUCCUCUUAAUUAAACUGAAUAGGAGUAAAAUUAUCUUCUAAUUAAUAAGGAUAUACUAUAUAUCUCUCUAAUAUUAUGUGAUGGUAGAAAUUUAGGUUGUACGGUAAUAGAAUUAUCAAGGAUAGUCUUGAUAGAAUUAAUGCAAAGAAUUAAGAUAAAGCCUCAAAGAUGGAACAAAGGUUAAAAAAAAAAAAAAGAGUACAAGACAAAGAAAUAAGGAAACAAAAGAAGACCAAGAAUAAAAGAAAACAUAAUUUGGAAAACAAAAAAAUGGAUUGCAAUUUUAAAUUUUGAUUAAGGAUAAAUUGUAGUGGAUGCAAUUGUUGGUAAUUUAUUAUAUUUCAAAGCUCAAAUAAGGAAUAAAAUUAUUAUUAUGAUUAUUAUUAUUUUGCAAUAACUCGUUUCAAAUUUUAAAAGAUUAUAACUUUUUGUUUUUCAACAUUUUAAUCAUAAAUUAAAAAGGAGUUACUAUUCAAGAUUCCUAAGAAUACUGAAAAAAAUGAUAAAUAUUAUUCUAAGAAAAUGAUAUAUAUUGGAUAUACUGAAAUAUUAUAAAUUAUUAAAUAUUUUACUAUUUUACCCCUUAGUUUGAUGUUUGGGGAAAAAAUACUAAAAUGGCUUUCAAUAAAAAGAAUUAUUAUUAAAAAAAUAAGAUUAAAAUUAUAACAAAUGAUAUUAAUAAGAAAGAAACUGAUAAAAAUUUGGGUUUCGAAAUAGGGGUUAAGGCUUCAGUCCUUGAAUUUCUCGACAUUUUAUAUACUUUUAAUUUUUAACCUGUCAAAUUACAUUAUUAAUGGAAUGUCAAUAAAUUUUGUGCGUUAAUUUUUGUUUUAGAUACUUUAAAAGGUAAAAUGGUAUUUUGGAUGGUAAAAGUCAACUAAUUAAUUAAAUAUUUAUAUUCCUAGGAAAUUAUUUUUUAAAUUUUCAUUGUGGUGAUAUCAUAAAAUAAAUUUGUGAUUAUCAUACUUGUUUUAUAGAUUAAGAUAUAAGUAAAAGUUAAAUUAAUCUUUCAAUGGUUUUUUUACUUUUUUUUUUCUAUAGGGAGUUAUUAUUAAUAAUUUUUUUUGUCGUCUAACUUGAAAUAUAAUAGACCUUAAGGGGCAAAAUAAAAUUAUUCUUGUUAACUCCACGAAACUAUUAAUUAGUUAGGGUUAGGGGCAUUCUCGUAUUUUUCAAGUCAACAUCAAUUAACUAUUAAAAAUAAUGGCAUUUGGCAGGUAAAUUGAAGUUUUCAUACUUUUGGAGGGUAAAUUGAAGUAUUUCAAUCUAAUAAGGGUGUGGGACGAAAUUUAACUAUAAGUAAAUUAUCCGUGAGGCAUGCUUUUUACAACUUUUGUUUUCUUCUUUUUUUUUCUUUUGAGUUUUUGUUUUUGUUUUACAUGGCAUUGGCCCGACCAGUACAAAUUAAUUUUAGAAUAUUUACAAUUAUGUACCAUAGUUGUGGAGUAGAAUCAUAGAAAUUAAAGAUGGUAAAAUUAUUGACGUGUGGGGUGGGGGAGGAUAACUAUUAACUUUUUUCAUGCAAUCUAAGAAGAAUGCAACUGCUCCUUUGAUUUGGUAUUUUCGUAACAAAAGCACACUGAACAUCUUAUCAAAUUAUUUCUCCUUUUCCUUGUCAGAAUGGCGGAUGCGAUCGCUUCCCCUCUUCUUGGGCAACUGAACUCCUUUGCUGCUUAUGAAUAAGGAUUUGAGUUCCAUUUGUCUUCCUUUUCUUAUUUAGAUUAGAAGGAUUUUAUUAUCAUAUAAUAUUUUGGAUUUGCCUAUUUUGGUAAAUUCCUAAUAUUUAUGUUUCUAUAAAAGUGGUUCAAUACCCAAUUUUGUUUGUUCAAAUUAUUCGCAAUAAAACUUAUUAUUUAAAAACCUGGUUUCUAUUAUCUAAUAGCCUUUUAAUGUUUCCUCAUCGUCAGCUGAUAUUAGAGUAAGUUCGCUUGUUAUCAUGAUGUGACCACACAAAGGAACAACCGUCCCGAAGACAUUCAAGGGAAGUAGACAACGACUGUGGAGGCAGAGCAAAGCUCAGGGAAGGCUAACCCGGGCUGCAGCCCGGGUAAGCUUUUUGAAAAAAAAAAUUAUUUAUAAUUUAUAAAUUUACUUUUAUUAGUAUUUAUAAAAAAAUAAAAACAAACCCAAUAAUUAUAGGAAUCUUUAUUUUCCCCAAAUUACAAUUCAUAAAACUCACCAGUAUCUAACUAAAUCUGAAUUUAAAAUUCACCAAAAUUCAAUUGCUCAAGUCUCUUACCGUUGCUGAAUACCCAGUCUCCUGCGCUCGAAUUGACGCCUAGCCACUGCCUCAUGAGUGACGCCGAACCACUGCCGCAAGGCCCGCACCCACAGGUUGAAUCUCUUACCGCUGAGCCGACGCCGAAUGCCCAGUCUCUUGAUGCGGCCCCUGGUACAAAGCACUUUGCCUUUUAAACUUUAGUUUAUAGAAUAUAAUAUGAUUUUAUGAUAAUGAUGGUUGGCACACGAAGUGGAAUUGUGGAAGACUGGAAGUUGUUGAUUUUGUGAACUGUGAUUCAUCUUUUUAAAAUUAUAAAAUAAUAGAAUGUGAAAAACGGUGAUGAUAGCAUAUAAAGUGGAACUGUGAAAGGUGUUGAUUCAUCUUCUUGUAAUUAUAAAAUAAUGAUGGCAUGAAAGAAUGAGUGAAUAAAAUAGUAAAACAAUUAAUUUGAAUGCUGACUUUUUUAAUUAGCUUUUAACUUGCGAUUUUGUCAAAUUUUUUAUAAAACAAAUACUAAAUUUUUAAUGUAUUUUAUUAUAGAUUCAAUGUUAAAUAAACCAAGGAAAACUCUACUUUCUUUUUUUAAGAGAGUAGGUGAAAAUCAAUCAUCCACCAAGUCUUUAUCUCCAUGUCAAGUUAAUGCUCAAGAUUCCAGUGAGCAACAUACUUCCAAGUUUCAAAGGGUUGAAGUUGAAGAAACUAGAAAUACUUAUCUGGAGUGUGAUCUUGGAUUACGUCAUCAAAUAGGGACGUAUUCAGUAAAUCAACGUGAUGAUAUUAGAAGGGAGUACAUCAAAAUGGGACCUUAUCAUCCUAAACUACGAGAUUAUCCACUAACUAAUGAUGGCAUGCAAGAACGUAGGUUUCACUGUCACUGGUUUAAAAAAUUUCCAUGGCUUGAGUACUCUGAGGUAAAAGAUAGUGCAUUUUGUUUUCCAUGCUUUCUUUUUGAUGAAAUUCCAUCAAACAACCCAAAAUUUUUUAUUGAAGGAUUUUCUAGUUGGAAGAGAGUCAACAAUGGAAAAACAUGUCCUUUUUUAUAGCAUGAAGGGGGUCCAUCUUCUCAUCAUAAUGAGAAUAUGCAGAGUUGGGGUUGUUUGAGGAACCCAAUUCAACACAUUGAUAGAUUAAUUAAUGCCCAAACUUCACAACAACUUUUGGAGAAUAGCCUACGAUUGAAGACCUCAAUUAUUGCAGUUAAAUGGUUAGCAAAGCAAGCAUGUGCUUUUAGAGGUCAUGAUGAACUAGUUAAUUCAAGAAAUCGGGGAACUUUCAUAGAGUUGAUAAAGCAUUUAGCGGAGUGUAGUAAAGAAAUUACUCAAGUUGUCUUGGAAAAUGCUCCAUCGUAUGCUAAGUAUACAUCGUCUGACAUUCAAAAAGAGCUUUUAAAUAUUCUUGCAAACAAAGUGAGAAACAAGAUACGCAAGGAACUUGGAGAUGGUAAGUUUUGUAUUUUAGUAGACGAAGCACUUGAGGAAUCAGAUAAAGAGCAAAUGGCUAUUAUUUUAAGGUAUGUGUGAUUGUGAUGGAUAUAUUCGAGAACGUUUUUUUGAAGUUGUCAAUGUCAUGGAAACUACAGCAGUAACAUUGAAAAAAGAAAUAUGUAAUGUUCUUGCACGAUAUGAUCUUUUAGUUGAAAAUAUCCGAGGGCAAGGGUAUGAUGGUGCUAGUAACAUGCGGGAUGCAUGGAAUGGAUUACAAGCAUUAUUUUUGAAAGAUUGCCCAUAUGCAUAUAAUAUACAUUGUUUUGCACAUCAACUACUUGCUUUAGUUGCAGCAUCUAAUGAUGUGCCAGAUGUAUGGCUUUUCUUUUCAGCAUUGGGUUCAAUUGUAAAUGUUCUGACUUCAUCUGCUAAAUGACUUUCUGAGUUAAAAUCUGUUUGGGAAGCAGAAAUAAUAGAUUUGAUAGCUUCAGGAGAAGUUCAAACUGGUACAGGGGCCAAUCAAAUUUAUACUUUGCAACGGCCUGGGGCUACUUGGUGGAGCUCUCAUUUCCGUUCUAUCAGUAGGUUGCUUGAUUUGUUUAGUGUUGUUCGUAACGUUCUUAGGAAGUUGGUAGAGUGUGGACCUAACAAUAGUAUACGUGGAGAGGCUAAAGGUGCAUGUGAAUCAAUGACAUCUUUUAAAUUUGUGUUCAUUUUGCAUUUAUUAAAUAAAGUUUUGGGGGUGAGUGAUUUACUUUGUCAAGCAUUACAAGUUAAAUCUCAAGAUAUUCUAAAUGCUGUGCACUUAGUCUCAACUACGAAAAAACUUCUUCAAAGGCUGCGAGACAAUGGUUGGAAAACUUUUAUUGAGAACGUAGUUUUAUUUUAUGAAAAGAAUGAGAUAGAUAUGCUUGAUAUGAAAGCUCGCCAUAUGAAAGGCAGAGGACGUUCUUGUCAGCAGAAUAAUUAUAUUAUAGUUGAGCAUUAUUAUCAUUAUGAUAUAUUUAAUACUGUGAUAGAUUUUCAAUUGAUGGAGUUGAAUAAUAGAUUUAUUAAACAGACUUUGGAACUCCUCACUCUUAGUUCAGCUUUAAAUCCUAUUGAUGCAUUUAAAUCAUUUAAAAUUGAAGAUAUUUGCAGCCUUGCUGAAAGAUUUUAUCCUGAAGAUUCACUAAGAUUGAGUUACAGGCUUUGAGAAGACAAUUAGAGUGCUUUGAGAUAGAUAUACACUCUCUUCUAGAGUUUCAGAAUAUUACUUCCCUUUCUAAACUGUGUCGAAGAUUGGUUGAGACUAGAAAGUCACGGAUUUAUUUCUUGUUGGAUAGAUUAAUUCAUUUAGUGUUAACCCUUCCUGUUUCAACAGCAACAACAGUUGAGAGCAUUUUCUGCCAUAAAACUGAUUAAGACAAUACAUUGAAACAAGAUGGAGAAUGUGUUUCUUUCAGAUUGUAUGGUUAUUUACAUGGAAAGAGAAAUUACAAACAAUAUUGACUCAGAUGCGAUAGUAGAUGAAUUUUUUUUUUGAAGAACCGCAGGACACAUCUUCAUCAAUAGUGUUUUUCUUAUUUACAUUGUAUUUUUAUAGUUUUAUGGUUAAAUUUUUGCGCUUAUGUAGUGUGCUUAAUUUCAUUUAUAUAAAACAAUUUUUUUGGGAAGUAAAUUUCAUUUUUUUUUAAAUCUAGCCCACCCAAACAAAUGAUGCUAGCUUCGCCAUUGGAGGUUAUCAGAUAGAUGGUCAAAGAAGCAAUCUUGUAAGUCAUGGAGUAUGCAUAUAAUGUAAGAAUGGCAACAGACAAAUAUCAGGUUAUCUCUUGUAAACCAUAUUGAUAAAUCUAAUGAGGGAAAGAUAUUUUUUUUUUGUCCUAGAUGACGUGUGGGAUGGAAGUUACAAUCAAUGGGAACCAUUCAUCUAUUGUUUAAAGAAUGGUCUCUACAGUAGUCAAUUUUUUGAUUACUACACAUCAUUAGAUAGUAGCAAGCAUUAUGAGAUUAACAAAUAUUAUUUUUAUUAAGGAAUUAACUGAAGAAGAAUGUUGGUCAUUGUUUAAGCAAGUAGUAUUUUUUGGUCAAUUUUUUAAGGAUAGUGACCAAAUGAUAAAAAAAAUUGCAUGCAAGGCCUGCCUCUUAUUGCAAUCCAAACUAAACUUGAAUUUUUGAUUUGAUACAAUCCAAUCUGAAUAUUCUAACCCAAUCAACCUAAAAUCCGAUUAAGUUAAUCUGAACACAAAUUUGCCCACUCCUGGCGAGGAUCAUGACCCUACAAGCUUUGAAAAAAUUUGAGGUUUCGAAGUGAAAUAUUAAAAAUUAGGUAUAAAAAAACUGAUUUGACCCCUAAGAACUUGAUAUAUAAAAGAUGCAGAGCAGAGGCAAAUGAAGCUCGACGAAGUUGUUACUGAUUGGCUGGAUGAGCUCAGAGACGCAUCCUACGACAUGGAGGAUGUGUUGGAUAAGUGGAUCACUGAAACACGGAAAUUGCAGCUUGAUGAGGGCGGCGAUGAUGACGAUGCUCUUGCUCUUGCUCCUCCUAAGAAGAAGGUAUGUUCCUUAUUUCGUGCUGCCUCAAACUACUUAGCUGGUUUCAAACAACUCAUUCUUCGUGAUGAUGUUGCUGUCAAGAUUAGCGAAAUCAGUGAAAAGCUAGAUGGUAUUGCCACUCGAAAAGAUAUGUUUAACUUUGUUGAGAAUGUGAGUAACAAUGUUAAGAAAACAGAGCAAGUGCCAACCACCUCCUUGAUUGAUGAGGGAGAGGUUUUUGGUAGAGAUGACGAGAAAAAUGAGCUGUUUGGUAAGUUGUUGGGUGAGAGUGGCGAACAACAUCCUCAUAUCAUCUCACUGGUUGGGUUAGGGGGUAUAGGUAAAACCACUCUUGCACAACUAGCCUAUAAUAAUGAUGAGGUGAAAAGAAAUUUCGAAAAAGUUAUAUGGGUGUGUGUAUCAGACACUUUUGAUGAGAUGAGGGUCGCCAAAGCAAUCAUUGAAGGUCUAGGCGAGUCAGCUUCUGGUUUAAGCCAAUUCCAAUCUCUUAUGAGCCAUAUCCAUAGAUCAAUUAAAGGAAAAAAAAAUUUAUUGUCUUAGAUGAUGUAUGGGAUGGGAAUUAUAAUAUAUGGGAUCAAUUUUUCUUUUGUCUAAAGAAUGGUCUUCCCGGAAGUAAAAUUUUGGUUACCACACGUAAUGAGUCAGUUGCAAAUAUGAUGCGAACAAUAGAGUUAGAUAUUAUCUCCAUUGAACAACUAGCUGAAGAGGAAUGCUGGUUGUUGUUCAAGCGGUUGGCAUUUUUCGGUCGCUCUUUCGAGGAUUGUGAAAAAUUAGAACCAAUCGGGCGAAAAAUUGCACGCAAGUGCAAAGGCCUGCCUCUUGCUGUAAAGGUAAUAGGGAAUCUCUUGCGCUCUAAACGUACAGUAAAAGAGGCAAAGAAUUUUAGAGAGUGAAAUGUGGAAGGUAGAAGAGAUUAGGGAAGGUCUUUUGGCUCCUUUGUUGUUGAGUUAUAACGAUUGCCCUGUAAUUCUAUGGUAAAACAGUGUUUCUCAUAUUGUGCUGUCUUUCCAAAAGACUAUAAUAUGGAUAAACAUGAAUUGAUUGAUAUGUGGAUGGCUCAAGGUUACCUUAAUGCAGAAGAAGACGAAGACAUAGAGAUGAUUGGAGAAGAGUAUUUCAACAUUUUAGCAGCACGCUCUUUCUUUCAAGAGCUUGUGAAAGAUGAUGAUAAUAAUAUUAUGAGUUGCAAGAUGCAUGACAUAGUACAUGAUUUUGCCCAAUUUGUAGGUAGAAAAGAAUGUUUGUGGCUAGAAAUUAAUGGUACCAAGGAAUCAGUCAUAAACUUUUUUGGUGAGGAAGUCCAUCACUUAAGGUUAAAGUUUGAUGGAGAUACUUCAUUUCCUAUGUCUAUUCAUGGGCUUAAUAGAUUGCGUACCCUAUUAAUUUAUGAUGAAAGUCCUUACAAUCCGUCUCUUAAUAAUAGCAUCCUUCCAGAGUUAUUUAGUAAAUUGGCGUGUUUGAGGGCAUUAGUUAUAAGGCAGUCCCCAUUUUUUUGUCCAAAGUCGUUCCUAUAUUUUCAUUCUGACAAAAAUUGGAUUAGAGAAAUUCCAGAAAAUAUUGGAAAAUUGAUGCAUUUAAAAUAUCUUAAUUUGUCUGGACUGUGUAUAAAGAGACUACCUGAGACUUUGUGCGAAUUAUAUAAUUUACAAAAGCUAGAUAUUAGGCGGUGCCGAAAUCUUAGAGAAUUGCCAGCGGGGAUUGGGAAGUUAAAGAACACGAGGAGUUUACUGAAUGGUGAAACUUAUUCGUUGAAAUACAUGCCAGUAGGGAUUUCCAAAUUAACCAGCCUUCGAACAUUAGAAAAGUUUGUUGUGGGUGGAGGUGUUGAUGGUGGCGGCACGUGUAGGCUUGAAUCUCUGAAAAAUCUUCAACUCCGUGGUAAAUGUAGUAUAGAAGGGCUGAGUAAUGUGUCACAUUUAGACGAGGCUGAGAGGUCGCAACUUUACAAUAAGAAAAACCUCCUUCGUUUGGGUCUUCAGUUUGGUGGAGACGUAGAAGGGAGGAGGAAGAACGAGAAAGAUAAACAACUUCUUGAAGCCUUACAACCGCCUUUGAAUGUAGAGGAAUUAGUGAUUGUAUUCUACGGAGGCAACAUUUUUCCCAAAUGGUUGACUUCGCUAACCAAUCUAAGGGAACUAAAACUUUCCUCGUGCGUUAACUGUGAGCAUUUGCCUCCUCUGGGAAAAUUGCCUCUGGAAAAACUCCAACUAAAGAACUUGAAAAGUGUAAAAAGAGUGGGUAAUGAGUUUUUGGGAAUAGAAGAAAGUAGUGAGGAUGACCCAUCUUCAUCUUCAUCUUCAUCUUCAUCUUCAUCGUCAUCAUCAGUUAUUGCCUUCCCCAAAUUGAAAUCACUCAAAAUUGAUGGAAUGAAAGAACUGGAAGAGUGGAAUUACAGGAUUACGAGGAAGGAAAAAAUCUCUAUCAUGCCACGUCUUUCUUCCUUGAAAAUUGGUUCUUGCAACAAAUUAAAGGCGCUGCCGGAUUACCUUCUUCAAACGACGGCACUGCAGGAACUGAGUAUUUAUUUUUGUGAUCUUCUAGAAGAACUGCCCAUUCUAGAAGAUCGCAGGACAACAGACAUACCGCGUCUUUCUUCCUUGACGAUUUGGUAUUGCCCCAAAUUAACGGUGCUGCCGGAUUACCUCCUUCGAAUGACGACGCUGCAGGAAUUGACGAUUUGGUAUUGUCCUCUUCUGGAAGAACAUUAUGGAGAGGGGAAAGGAGAAGACUGGCAUAAGAUAUCUCACAUUCCCCACAUCAAGUGGUCGCCGUAAGAUAUCACUCGCUGGUAAUUUCUCCUCCUCUGAUUUACUUUGUUGUUGCUUGCAAUGAAAUUAAUAAAAAUAAUUAUAUUUUGAAUUAAAAUUCUGUAUAUUGCCAAUGCCUGACAGGAAUAUAUAAUAUUUUCUAAUAUUUUGAUUUGCGUAUUGAAUUUAACUAUUUACUUGAACCAUUAAUUUAAUGGAUCACUCUAUGAUACUGUUACAAAAAUUAUAGAAUCAAUUAUAGUAUAAAUAUGUACUGUUAGAUUUAAUCAAUAGUUCAUAAAGUUAAAAGUUAGUUAAGAUAAUAUUUUAAUUUUAGUUAUUUAAAAUUUAAACUUCCUAGUUAUCAAAUAAGUUAAACUUGUUUUCUAAAGAUUAAAUAAUUAAAAAUACAAGUUUAGUCUGUUGAAAUUUCUGUAUUUUCUUUUAAAAUAUAUGCAGUCUUUUGUAAAAUUUCAUAUAACAUCAUAGAAAAUCCUAACGUAUUUUAUUUUUUAAUGCACGGAAAUUUGUUAUGUGUAACUUCCUGAGAGACAAAAUCUCUGUGAUACAUUUGCAGUAAUGUUGAAAACUAAAUUAUCAAUUUUAUCUUGUAUAAUGAUAAUCGUAUUUUUUUAUAUAUAAUUUAUGUGACAUUAAUUCUUUAAAGUAAUUGUGUAAUUGUUUUUACUACAUUAGCCCUCUUUGUUUUAUUAAAUACGAGUUUAAUUAUGUUCAUCAGGGAUUCGAGGAAAUGUCAGAACCACACUAGCAAUUCGCAGGUCCAAGCUAAUUUGGUUUUAAUAAUGCAGGCAGGAGAGCAAGACUAUGAAAAUGAAAAAUUUAGCCAAAGGAUUGCUAAAAUGUUUUGCUGGUAAUUCACUUGCUUUAUUUUAUAGAAUUUCAUUUCCAUCUUCUUCUAUUGAUAUCUUGUUGUGAAUAAACAAGAACAGAGAAGUAAAGAUAUAUAUGAAAAUUCCCUAUUAGGAUGAUGCUAAAGCAAGCUCAAGCUCAAGCAUUGCAUUUUUAUUUUAUUUAAUUUAUAGAAUUUUCAUUUCUACCUGCAUUGCAUUUUUGUUUCAUUUUUUGGUUGACUUUGAAAACUCUAUGGAGAACAUUGGGGUAACCAAGGAUUAGGCUGGCAGUGGAACGACUACCACUGUGGUUAUUGUGCAACGUUUUGUCUGCUCUGUUUCAAUUGAGGAUGGAUAGCUGCCUGAAAGACAUGAUGAUUAUUAUUGCAUGAUGUUAAGGUGCUAAGAUUAUCAUUUCUAUCUUUUUUCAUUCUUUGAUCGGUUUAUCCUAUAUAAACAUAUGGAAUUAUGCUAAUAUUAUCAAAAUUUCCACCCAAUUUUCACUGUUGGUUGUGAUAACAUUUUCAGGCUCUCAAAAGCUACAAAACAAAGCAUUUGUGGGCUGAUAAUUUCCACAAAUUUGCAUUGUCAGAAUGCACUGUAAUGUUCAUUGUGUUCCUAUGUGUUAUCAGGUUAUCGUGGUAUGUAAAGUAUCAUCUUUAAGGAUUUGUAAGAGACUUUGCAGUGAACUUAGUUGUCACCAGCUCCUGCAAUUGCUCAUUCAUUCAAGAGUACUUCAAAAUUAGAUUUUCAAGGUUUGUAUGUUUAGUUGCGAUCAAAACAUUUAGUCACUCAUUCUUAAUCUUUUCUGAUUUUCAAGUUCUUUAAGGCCAUAAACAGUUUUCCAACUCAUUCUUAAUUUUUAGGUUGAUUUCGAGUACCCUGUUGAGGACAUUCCUGAGACCAAGGAUUAAGCUGGCGAGGGAACUGCUACCUCUGUUGUUAUUGUGCAAGGUUUGAUCAUUGGACCUUGAAGAAGAAUGCCUUACACGCAUUCUGUAAUUCAAGCAUUUUCUAAAGGAAAAGAGCAGUAGAAGGGAUAGUGAUGGCCGGAUCUGCUCUAUUUCAGUUGAAGAUCUCUGUGAUGUCGAUGAGCUUAAAGCAGUUGAUACUUCUUGAAAAUUAUUAUUACGGAUGAACUAAUUCCUGAAGACAGGUAUCCAAAUGCGUAUUUUCUUAAACUUCCAUUUUUAACAAAUGUUCCAACACUUGCUGGAGUAACAAUUUCAUAGCUUGCAUCUCUCGGGUGCAUCAUGUUCAGGGGUUGGAAAAAGCAUUUGUGGUAAAGCUUCAAAGCUUGUAAAAUGGCUGUGAAAAGGCACAUUCAAUUCGGUAUGCUUUGGUGCAGUCUUCUAAUGCUAAUAUUAUAUUUUGUAUAGCAAUCUUAAUAUGCAAUAAAUCAUUGUGUCCAAAGUUAUCUAUUAAUUAUAUGGUGACUGAAAUUUUAAUUAUCAUAUCAAUCUUAAAAUUUUUUGUAACCCUAUUUUACUUUGCUUGUACAGAAUACCUGUUUUGGCUGAUAUGUCUAAUUCCUAGAAAUUCAUUUCCAUUGGUUUUAGCUCAAACAGAAACCGAGAGCCCUGGGAAAAAGUUUUACUUUUUGUGGUAUUAUGCUUUGUUUCUUCAUUCAUCAUAUUUGUUUUGAAUUCAUGCUCUUAUUCAGAGAGUAAAGCCUUUUCCAGGCUGCUUUGUAGCCAAAUUUUGAUGCCAUCGAUGCAUGAUUGUCAUUUAGAUUUUCCAAUUAAUUGUUAGAUUGGAGAAGAUAAAAAGAUAUUGUUCAAAGGGUAUUUAAUUAGCACCCUCUGAAUUUAGUUGCCAAUAAUGCAUUGAAAUGGUUGGGCAAAGUUAUUGUCUUAAUUAAAUUACAGGCGAUAAGAUGCUGCUUCAAUUUUGCAAGCAUCUUGUACUGCGAAGAUUCUGCCCACAUGAGAUGCUGCGAUUCUUGACAUCGGGAUAGCAGAGGUCAAAUUUUAGUAUCAAUAUAUAUCAUCUUCUUUACUGUUCUGCCUCUAAAUAUUAAACUUUAAGCAAGUUUUUUUUUGUUUAAGUUAUCAGGUUAAGGAUACUAAGCCGCUUAUUAAGGCAAAUGUCAGAAUAAAGAUUGUUCACCACACCUGGUAUGUUUGAUGGCCAGGAAGAUUAAUUGUUCGCAAGCCAAUUUGAUCAGUGUUAGAUCCCUAAUAAUAAUGCAUUGGAUUUUCAUUUUAUUUUUAGGUUGACUUUGAAGACCCUAUGGAGAACAUUAGGGUAAUCAAGGAUUAGGCUGGUGAUGGAACUACUUCCACUGUGGUGUUGUGUGCAACGUUCAGUUGCUGGACUUUGAAGAAGAAAGUGAUGGCCAGGUCUGCUCUGUUUCAAUUGAGGAUGGAUAGCUGCCUGGAAGGCAUGAUGAUUAUUAUUGCAUGAUAUUAAGGUACUAAGGUCAUCAUUUCUAUCUUGUUUUUUUCUUUGAUCGGUUUAUCCUCUAUAAGCAAAUUCAAUUAUGCUAAUAUUACCAUUUUUUCACCCAAUUUUCACCGUUGGUUGUAUUAACAAUUUCAGGUACUCAAAAGCUACAGAGCACAGCACAUGUGGGCUGAUCAUAUGCUUCCAUGGAGGAAGGAAUUCGGUGUUAACACUAUUAUGCAGGUAACCGCAGUUGUUAAUUUGCACAAAUUUGCAUUGUCAGAAUGCCCUUUAAUAUUCACUGUGUUUCUUUUUGUUAUUCAGGUUACCAUGGUAUGUAGAGUAUCAUCUUUGAGGGUUUGUAAGAGCCUUUGCAGUAAAGUUACCUGCUCGAGCAAUUGCACAUUCAUCGAGUACAAUUUUGGAUUUUCAAGGUUUGUAUUUUUAGUUGUGAUUAGCAGGCUUAGUCACUCAUUCCUAAUCUUUUCUGAUUUUCAAGUUAUUUAGGUCCAUUAACAGUUUUCACACAUGUUUCAAUGCUGGUUGUAAUGACAAUUUCUCAUCUUGCAUCUCUAAGAUGCAUCACGUUUGAAACAGCUAUUGCGGUAAACUUUCAAUGCAUGUACAAUGGCCGUUAAGAGGUACAUUCAAUUCGGUACGUUUUGGUGCAGUCUUCUAAUGCUAAUAUCAUGUUGUGUAUAUUUAGUUUGCAAUUAAAACUUAGGUAUACAAUCUUAAUCUCAUAUAAAUCAUGGUGUACAAAGUUUUCUAUUAAUUAUAUGGUGACUAAAAGUUUAAUUAUCUUAAAAUUUUUUGUAACUCUCUUUUACUUUGCUUGUACAGAGUACCUGUUUUGGCUGACAUGUCUAAUUCGUAGAAAUUCAUUUUCAUGGGUUUCCAUUGGUUUGAGCGCAUACAGAAACAGAGCUUUACUUCUUGAGGUGUUAUGCCUUUGUCUCUUCAUUCACCAUAUUUGUUCGAAUACGUUGUCUCAUUAAGAAUUUAAAGCCUUUUUCUAGGCAGCUUUGUGGCCAAUUUUUUAUGCCAUCAAUGCAUGAUUGUCAUUUAGAUUUUCCAAAUAAUUGUUAGGUGGGGAAGAUAUUGUUAAAAGGGCAUUUAAUUUGCUACGUCCCCUAUGAAUUUAGUUGCCAAUAAUACAUUGAAAUUGAGAAGGCUAAUAGUUGAGGAAAGUUAUUGUCUUAAUUAAAUUACAGGUGAUAAGAUGUUGCUUGAAUUCAGCAUCUUGUAUUGCGAUGAUUUUGCCCACAUGAGGUUCUGUGAUUCUUGACAUCAGGAUAACUCAGGUCAAUUUUUUGUAUCAGCAUAUAUCAUCUUGUUUACUGUUUUGCCUUUAAAGAAUAAACUUUAGUGAAGUUGUUUUUGUUUGUGUAACUUAUCAGGUUAAGGAUACUAAGCAGCUUAUUAAGGCAAAUGUCAGAAUGAAGAUUGUUCACCACACCUGGCAUUUAUGAUGGCAAGGAAGAUUAAUUGUUCACAAGCCAAUUUGAUGAGUGUUAGAUUUUUGGCUUUAUAUAUUAUUAGAGCUCUCCCUUCUGAGAGAUAUCUCAUUAAAUUUGAGUAGAGCUCUCCCAAUAAUUGCAAGCUUUCAUUUGUUUGUAAAAUCAUCUUCUUAUAUUGAUUGUGUUUCCUUGUGUUAUCAGGUAGAGUAUCAUCUUCAAGGGUUUCAAAAAGUCUUUGCAGUAAAGUUUCAACCAAUUGCUGUGAAGAGGCAUAUUCAUUUGAGUAAUUCAGUUUCAGAUUUUCAGGGCGUGUAUGUUUAAUUAGUUUUGAUUAAAAUAUUUAGUCACUCAUUCUGAAUCUUUUCUAAUUUUCAAGUUCCGUAGGGCCACAACCAGUUUUUCAGGUCUGCAGAAACUAUCUUGAGUGUUGAGGAAUUGCGUUUGAGCACGCACAGAAACAAGGCUAAUGGAAAAGAACUUGACAGAAGAAUUAUGCUCUAAAUCUAACAAAAGUAUAUUUCUACUUCUUGUGGUUAUUUUACUUUUGUAUUUUCUGUCAUCAUUUUGAUUAAUUCAUUCGAAUUCAGACUCUCAUUAUUUAAAACCAUUUUCAGGUGGCUUGCACGCUAAUUAAGUUAACGCAGAAGCAUACUCUAGACAAAGAUGAGCAAAUUGAAGAUGAUAAAUACAUAUAUGGUGGCCAAGUCGCUCAUUACAUUUCAUCUCUCAUACGAACAUGAUUCUGAAUUUGAAUUUCCAUGAAUAAUUGUCGGGCUGGUGCAGAUAUUCUUAAAAGGGCAUUAAGCUACCUUAUGAAAUUGGAAAGUUAUCAUUGCUUGAAUGAAAGCACCAUCUUCUGUUGUCAAGGCUUUCCCCACACGAUGAGAUUCUGUGCUUGUUAUCGGCCGCUUAAUUAUUUAUUAAAUCAGGUUUUUGUUAUCAAGUACAUCAUCUUAUUCACCAUUUUGGCUAUAUAUAAAGAUUAAAAUUUCUAACAGUUGUUUUGGAUUCUUGUGUAAUCAGAUAAUUGGGGCAAAUGUCAGAAUGAGGAUUGUUCAGUGCUACUGGUACGGCAAUGAUGGUGAUGGUGAGGAAGAUUGUUCACAAGCCAAAUAGAGCACUCCAUUUUGUGAAAUAACAUCCUCAAAUUUGAAUUGUUGGGCAUAUGAAGUGAUGCUAAAGCCUUAAUAAUAGGACCUUCCAAUGAAAGUUUCAUUUGAGUGAAUUAUGGGAGAAUGAAAGUUCUUGGAGUGAGUGAGAAAUUAAGCAUAUAUCAGCGAGUAGUGAAUGUUUUUCUUUGACUGUGACGUAGACCAAAAGCUGAACAAUGUAAAAUUAUAUUGUUAUGCUUGGUUUGCUAUAUAUCAUUUCUGUGCAAUCAAGAAUGUAAUUUUGUAAUUAUUCAACUCUGCUUCCGCGAACAUGCGGUAUCUUGCAGUUUUUUUCUCCUUUUUUCUUUCUGCGUUAAAACUACAACAAAUGGAAGUGACUGGCUUGAUUUUAGCUCCUGUAAAAAAGUGCUUGGGGCAAUGUCUUUUGUAUCAGCAAGUUAUCAAACAUCAUAGUUUGAAUAUAGAAUCCUGAGUUGCUAUCGAAAAUUCCAGGUGUUUCACCUCUCAGUUUCUUAAAAGCUACAAAGCUUGAUAUAUAUUGACAAAGCAAACCGUCUGUGGGCUGAAAUGCUUCCCGGGAUCAGGAAGGAAUUUGGUGUUGACACUAUAUGUUAUGCGGAUAACUACAGUUGAUGAUUUUUACCCAAAAUUUGUCAUAGUUGACAAUUCACUUAUGCUGUGUUUACUUCACUUAUUUAGUGAAAGAUUGGGAAUCCCACUCUGUGGGCCCCAUAUAUUUUUGGAGUGGGGAGUGGGGGUGGGACUCCCAUUGGGGGAGGUGGGAGUGGGAAUCCACUCCCACCUCUUCCUUUUCUACCUUUUUUUUUUAAUUUUAAUUCAAUUUAAUAUUUUAUAAUUAAUAAAAUAAAAUAAAUAAUAUUAUAUUUAUUUGAAUAAUAUUAUUAUAUUUAACUAAAUAAUAAUUUGCAUUGAUUCUAAGUUAAAAUUAUUUUAAAAUAAUAUUAUUAUAUUAAUAGAGAAUUAAUAAAUAUAAUAUUAUUGUAUUUAUUUUAAAAAUAAUAGUACUAUAUUUAUUUAAUAUUAAUAAUAAUGAAUAGUUUAUUCUAAGAAAAUAUUAAUUUUGUACUAAAUAAUAUUAUAUUAUUAUUUUAUAUAAUAAUAAAUUUAAUAUAAUUAUAUUUAAAUUUAAUAUAAUUAUAUUAAAUAAAAUAAAAUAACGUUUCAUUUUAUAUUAGAAUUAAAAUUAAUAAAAAAUGUGAUGUUCAUAAUUAAGAAUAUUAAUAAUUAUUAUAAAUUUACAAAUAUAAUAAAAUAAAUAUUUAUUCAUUAAAUAUAUUUUUUAUUAGCUUCGUAAUUAAAAACUAUAAUUUUUUAAAUAAAGAUAAAAUUGUAAUUUGAAACUAUUUACUCUCAAUCCAAGACAAAGUAAACACAUAUAUUGGAUUCUGAUCUUCAUUCCAUACUUCCAUUCCAGUGUAAGUAAACAACUUAUUCCCACUCCCACUCCACACUCCCAAUCCUAGGAUUCACACUUCUCAGGAUUCCCACUCCAAUCCAAAAAGUAAACGCUACCUUACAGUGUUUCCUUGUGUUAUCAGGCUGUAAUGUGUGAAUUGAAAGAUUAAGAAAGAUUGAUUCUAACUAACUUAUGCAAUUGAUGAUUAUGAAAAAUCAUUUGCACUAAAGUUCCCAGCUUGUUUAAUUGCGGUGAAGAGGCACAUUCAUUCUGAGUACUUGAGUUUUAGAUUUCCAGGAUGUGUAAUUUUAGUUGCCAUUGAAAUAUUUAGUCGCUCAUUCUUAAAAAUCUGUUCUAGUUUUCCUGUUAUUUUGGGCCAUAAACAGUUUGACAAGUCUGCAUGUGGUUUCUAAAGAUUGAUGGUUAUGAUAAAUAUUGUGAGGUAUGAAAUAUUAAUUUGCUAUAAAUAUGUGUACAAAUUUUUCCUAUUACAUGGGGACUGAAAUUGUAACUUGCAGGGUCAAAAAAAAUCCUAAUUUGCUUUAGGUAUGAAAUCUUAAUUUGCUUAAGUGUCUGCAUUUGUGUACAAAGGAAAAAUAAGAAAUUCUGCUACAUGGGGACCGAAAUUUUAAUUGGCAGGGUCUUCAUCAAAUGUUUGUUAUCAAUACUGAUCCCGGAAUGUGUGGAACACGGUGAAAAGUUUUUCAUAGUUUUGUGAAGAAGGCUGAUUUAUCUGAUUCAUAGAAUUGUGAAAAGGGCAUCGGGCGGGGGACAAAAGAAGUGUUGAAAUUGAAAAGGUUAAUGGUUGAAGCAUGCAGUGUUGCAAUUAAGUUAUUAUUGUCUUGAAAUAACAGGAGAUGAUCAGAUGCUGCUUAAUGCAUGCAGUUUCUGUUGCAAUUGUAUUGGCCUGGGUUUAGGGAACUGUCAGAACUUUCAGAAGAAGAUGGAGUUUCUCAAACCAAAUAUAAGAAGAUAUCUCACAUUCCCCACAUGGUCUCAAUGCACAGGUAAGUUCUUCUCUAGCUCUGUUUUUCAUUGUUUGUUAUUUUUAAUGUAAAUAAGGAGCAGAGUUAAUCUCUUAUCUUGACCUUGCUUUGAGAAAACUGCUUUUACAUGUAUUUUUAAUUCAGAUGUCCACAAUAAUUUCAUUUUAGUUUGAGCUAAGUGAUAACUGUUGAAGGCUCACUCACUCAUUGGGAGAAGCUCCAUGACGCAGGCAGCUGGGAUUAGCUAGUGCAAUUGCUGUGAAGAGGCACAUUCAUUGGGAGAAAUUCAAUUUUAGAUUUUCUUAGUGUGUAUGUUUGGCUGCGAUUAAAAUGAUUUCUCUCGUUGUUAAUGAUUUCUGAUCAUUCAUCAUUUUGGACAGAGUUUGGAAAAAAAAAAUUAUACGUAAAUCACUUUCCAAUGGUUCAGUGAUUUUUGAUUGGUUGUAAAAUGUUGAACCUCUUUUCAGAUUUCCAAAUAACUGUUAGAUUGGAGAAGAAUAAGAAGAUAUUAUUAAAAGGAUAUUUAAUUAGCGCUCUCUGAAUUUAGUUGCCAAUAAUGCAUUGAAAUAGUUGGGGAAAGUUAUUGUCUUAAUUAAAUUACAGGUGAUAAGAUGCUGCUUCAAUUUUGCAAGCAUCUCGUAUUGUGAAGAUUUUGCCCACAUGAGAUGUCGUGAUUCUUCUGCUUCAAUACAGGUCAAAUUUUAGUAUCAAUAUAUAUCUUCUUCUUUACUGUUCUGCCUCUAAAUAUUAAACUUUAGGCAAGUUGUUUUUGUUUGUGUAAGUUAUCAGGUUAAGGAUUCUAAGCAGCUUAAUCAAAUUUGAGUAGAGAAUCUUUGAAUAGAAUUUUGUUGUGAGAGUUUCACUGUAGUGAAUUUUGGGAGCUUGAACUCACUUGAGUGAGAUAAUAUUAUCCUGGAACUCAAGUGAACUCAAGUAAGUACUAAAGCGCCUGGUUAUGGUGCUUUCAUUGGACUAUAUGCAAACAUGAGAUAUCAGCUAUUGUGUGGAUUUGAUAGAGCGGUCACCAACCAUUUUGAUGUUAUUGGAGUAGCACUGUUCUUAAGCACGGCUUUGAGGUCUCUCCGUCUUUCUUUUACGUAUUUGUCUAUUGAUCGACAUCUCUAAAUAUACAUUGAUAGACCAAAUUACUCUUGUUUUAAUGUUUUGUUUGUUGAACUUUGACUGGGUUAUUUGUUUAUUUGUCUCAUAUGAUGUUAAUGCGGUUCCUAUAAAAGUGGAUAUAGAUCUAUCACCUCAAAGUCUGAUUUCAAUUUUCCUUUACUUAAUCAACUAGCAUCCUUUCCAAGUCCAGAUACUUACCAAUAGUGAGACUUUGCUACGGAAGUACAAUUUCUCUUGUUUUACAGUUAAGUAUGUAAGAAUAGUUUCAAAUUUACAGAAUUCUGAUAUAGUUCUCUAAGGAAAUGCGGGUGGUGAAUAUGGUUCCAACUUUUAAUAGGCUUUAAUAGGCCCAUUUGUUCAGCCACAGUGAUUGCGGUCUAAAUUCUUCUUUACUGUCUAUAUGUGUUGGAGUUUGUCUAUUGUCCAACUUCUCCAAUGGAUUCCAUGCAGGGUUUUGAUGGUCUAAUUAGGAGAAAGAUCAACGGAUGACCUUUUGAAGAAGGCUUACACAACAGCCCAUCUCAGGAUGUCAUGGCUCAGCUCAAAAGUCCCCAGGUGGUUGAUACCAAGGAGUGCCAUUGUUUCUGGGCUUGGGCUCCUUGGCGUCAAACAAGAUAGUCCGGAGGAAGGUGACUGCAUAAAUUUCUUGGAGUUAAUGUAGUCAAUUGCCCAAUUUUGCUGCCUGUCGAAGAGACACAGCAUGGAAGUCGUCAUCAAACUCUGAGACACCUAAGAACUAGUAGGAGGUGGUGGUAUUCGCCUGGUGUUUCCUUGCAAGUAUGGUUCACUGAUACAGGGAUUCUUUUCUUAAUGUCUAAAUACUAUAUGUGAUACUAACAAGAAAUUAACUGAUGCAAAUGUUUGUAAGAAAGUUUCUGACUAUUCAUUUCACAGUGAAGGAAUAUAUACAUGUCUUGUACAUCAGUUAAGGAAAGAAUAAAUCAAGAAUAAAUCAAGAAUCCCGUGAAUAUAUAAAUUACAAUUGUUAAGCCAUAAACUACGUGCGUGACUCAAGGCUUGAAUUGAUCUUGCUGUGAUGAAGGGAUUGACAUCUAUUCAUUCUAUUAUGCCCCCGCAAGAUGGCGUCACCAUCGAAGACGCCAAUCUUGGAUCGAAGAGUUAGAAAUCGUUGCUUAGCCAAAGGCUUGGUGAAAAGAUCAGCAAGUUGUUCGGUCGUUGAAACAUGAGAUACCUUAAGGGAGCCUUCAAAUACCUUGUCUCGAACAAAAUGAUAAUCGAUUGCAAUAUGCUUCAUCCGAGAGUGGAAAAUGGGAUUUGCACAUAAAUAAGUGGCACCAAGAUUAUCACAUAAAAGGUGUGGAGGAGAAGAUAGAGUAAUGCCAAGUUCAGAGAGCAAAUUGACGAGCCAUGAAAUUUCAGCAGCGGUGGAAGCAAUGGCACGAUACUCUGCCUCAGUUGACGAUCUAGCAACUGUACGCUGCUUCUUUGAGCACCAAGAUAUAGGAUUACCACCAAAGUAAAUAAUAUAAGCAGAUAUGGAGCAAUAGUUGUCACGGUCACCAGCCCAAUCGGCGUCGGAGUAUGCAGUGAGUUGAAAAGGUUGAUGCCGCUUAAGAUGAAGACCAAAGUGAAGAGUAUUCUUUAGGUACCGAAGAAUACGCUUUGCAGCAGCCCAAUGAGUCUGAUUUGGAGCUUGCAUAUAUUGCGCAAGUUUGUUGACAGGAUAAGCAAUAUCUGGACGUGUCAGAGCCAAAUAUUGAAGGCCACCGAUAACACUGCGAUACAACGUAGCAUCUGCCGAAGGUUAGCCAUCGUGAUGAAGGAGUUGAAUUGAUGUGGACAUAGGAGUGACAUAGUCUUUGACGCCUUCCAUUUUUGUUCUUGCAAGGAGAUCUCUGAUGUAUUUUUGUUGAGAUAAAAAUAGACCAGUGGGUGUAGGAAUCACUUCAAUGCCAAGAAAAAAAUGCAAGUCACCUAGAUCUUUUAUCGAGAACCUCCGAGAUAGGGCAGCAAUAAGCGCAACAAUUGCAACUUUGGAGUUACCUGUUACUAAAAGAUCAUCUACAUACACCAAAAAAUAAAUCACAGUAGAGUUGGUGUUAUAAAUAAAUAAUGAAGCAUCUGAUUUGGAUUUGACAAAUCCAGAGAGAAGAAGAAAUUCUUGAAGUUCAUUAUACCACGCACGUGGUGCUUGUUUAAGGCCAUAAAGGGCCUUGUGCAACCGACAUACAUGGUUUGGUAGAGAUGCAUCAAUGAAACCAGGAGGUUGAGACAUAAAGACUUGCUCCGAUAGCCGACCAUGUAAGAAAGCAUUAUUGACGUCUAACUGAUGAACCUUCCAAUUGCGAGAAAGGGCAACGGAGAGAACUAGUCGGAUCGUGGUUGGCUUGACCACCGGGCUGAAGGUGUCAUGAUAAUCAAUACCCGGCCGUUGAUGAAAUCCUUUAGCAACUAAGCGGGCUUUAUACCUGUCAAUGCUUCCAUCAGGAUGUCUUUUAAUGCGGAAAACCCAUUUACAUCCAACAAUAUUUUGAGUGGGUGUGCGAGGAACCAACUCCCAAGUACCAUUCUUGACUAAGGCAUUAAUUUCAUCACACAUAGCAUGUCGCCAUUGAGGAUCUUUAAGGGCUUGUAUGGGACUGGUAGGCUCAAGGGAUAAUGGAAGAGGAUAUUUUGUCGUGAUGUUGAGGUGUUUGGGUUGAAACACACAGUUUUUGGAGCGUGUAGUCAUGAUAUGUUGAUUUUGAGAGCACGGCUCACGAUGGAUUUGGGGAAUAGAAUAAAUAAAGUUAGAAGAGUCAUUCCUUGGGGGUUGCUCAGUCUGUGGCAUAGAGGAUGACAUCUUGUGAGUUGAACCUUCCAAAUGAGGAUCCACUUCUGACAGUAAAAGUGCUUGUGACGAAUCAAUAUUAUUGUUGAAUGGACACAAAGAGUGGACAGCUUCUUUAAGUGGACAAGUCGAGAGUUGAGAAGAAGAAUGAGGAUUGGAAGUAUCUUGACUAAAAUGGACAGUUUGUUGAGUUGGAUUUACUUCUGACAAUGAAGGCGGAGAAUUAGGAGUUGAUGAAGAUUGUGUGAUCAGGGGAGAAGUAUUUGGAGGAGUUUGUAAAUGGGAGGGGUUGUUAAAAGAUGAAGAAUCCUUAAUUAUAGGAGAAUCGGGAAAGUUGUGCAUGGGAGAAUCACUAUGUGAACUGGAGGAAACACAUGUGGGAGACUUGUUGAGGAAGGGACCUGACUUGGUGGAGUGUGAUGUGGAAAGUGGGAUAUUAAAAAAUGCAUUAAGAGCAAAAGAUGGUGCUGACCAUUUGGAUAAAAGGUGAGAGUCAAAUGAAACCUUAUCCUGGGAGGAAACUAUAGAAGGAAAAUUAUCUUCAACGAACUGAACAUGUCUUGAAAUGAAAAUUUUUGUAGUUGAGGGAUCAAAGCAUUUGUAGGCAUUAUGAAGAUUAGAGUAACCCAAAAAAAUGCAAGGUCUAGAGCGGGGUUCUAAUUUAUGGCUAGUAUAUGGACGUAACCACGGGUAACAGAGACAGCCAAAUAUUCGUAACUUAGAAUAGUUUGGCAUUGUAGAAAAUAAUGACUCAAAAGGAGAUUUAUUCUCAAGAAUAGGUGUCGGUAACCUAUUGAUGAGAUAGAUAGCUGCUUGAAAAGCAUGUGACCAAAAUGAAGGGGGGAGAGAGGCUUUAUGUAGAAGUGAUAACCCAGUUUCAAUAACAUGUCGGUGUUUUCGUUCUGCAGAACCAAUAUGUUGAGGGGUAUGAGGUGGGGAAAAUAGAUGUUGAAUACCAUGAGAUUCAAUCAUAGAUUUGAGGCCACGAUAUUCACCACCUCCAUCUGAAUACAUAGUGACAAUAGAUGUUUUAAAAUAUUUUUCUACCAUUACUUUGUAUUUAGCAAAGAUAGAAAAGACAUCAGAUUUUUUUUGCAUAGGAAAAAGCCAAGAAUAUUUGGUGAAAUAGUCAACAAAAAUAACAUAGUAAGAAAAGCCAUCAAUUGAUUGAAUGGGAGAGGGUCCCCAUACAUCAGUGUAAAUUAAAUCCAAAGGACCUCGACUUGAAAGAGAUGAUACACCGAAACUCAACCUAUGACUUUUAUUACAUAAACAUGAAUCACAAAAAAAUGAACUACAUGACCGACUUGACUCAAUGGGAAGAAUUUUAUUAGACACAAGAUAUUUGAGAAUUUUAGAUGAUGGAUGUCCAAGGCGAUUGUGCCAAACAUCAAAAGAAGUUUUGAUUCCUACACAAGCUCUUUGAACUAUCAUCGAUUUCUUCCUCAUGGUUGGCCACUCAUAGACGUUGUUUCUACUCUGCCCUCGAAUGAGAUGUGCCCCCGUGGUUAGAUCCUUCACAACAAAAUAAGAGGGAAAGAAUUCAACAGAUGUUUUAUUAGAAUUACAAAAUUGAAAAACAGAGAUUAGAUUUUGUUUUAUGGAUGGGACACAUAAAACAUUAGAUAAGGAAAAUGAAGUGGUAGGAGUGGAGAGUUUAGAGGAACCAGUAUGUGUGAUAUUUAAGCCUGUACCAUCACCGAUGACGAUGUCAUCAGGGCCUUCGUAAGGUUGGUGCAGAGGGAGGUUAUUGAGAUCCCCAGUCACAUGAUGAGAAGCAGCAGAGUCCAUCAGCCAAUUCGGUGAAGCAUUGGUGCCGGUUGCAGUGUGAUUUGCAGUUGGAGGAUGUUCUCGCAGCAUUAUCUUCUUGGCAUGAUAACAUUGACGAGCAGAAUGUCCUCUUUUCCCACAAAAUUGGCAAAUGACAUUGGGAUUUUUACUGGUGUUGGUGUUGGGAUUUUCGGAUUUAUUGGAAGUUCCUUGCCCAUUGCCUUGACCAUUGUUACGAGGCUGAUUGUUCCAGUUUUUGUUGUUGCCUUUCUUGCCAUUUUUAGUAUGGGAAUGAGUGCUGUUGACUGUCAUUGGAGGGGAUGAUGAUUGACCUUCUUCACGUCGAAGGAAGGACUCGUAUUCGACGAGUUUAUCAUGCAAUUCUUCAAAUGAGAUCACUGUGUCUCGAGCUCGAAUAGCGGCAGCUAUUUCCUUGAAUUCUGGACCGAGACCAUUUAAGGCAUGAAUGACUAACUUGAUGUUAUCCAAAGGUGCACCUGCAAGAGCAAGAUCAUCAGCAAUUGUGUUAAUAGAGCCAAGAUAGUCAGCAACUGAUGAAGAGCCACGAGAAAGCUUCAUCAAUGUUUCUUGAAGUCCCAUAAUUCUGGUUGUUGAUUUGUUGGCAUACAAGCCUUCAAGUUUUGCCAAGACCUCACUUGAUGUCUUUGCAGAUGAUACACGUGGUAUAAUUGAAUCUGAAAGUGCACCAAUUAUCGCCAGGAAUAGAAGUUUGUCCUGACGCAUCCAAACCGUAUAUGCAGGAUUUGGAGAUUUAGAACCAUUGUGGUCUAUAGUUGGUGGCGGGCAUGGAAGUGAGCCAUCAAUGUACCCAAUUAGGUCAUAUCCAAAUAGCAUGGCAUCAACUUGUGCCUUCCAAGAUGGAUAGUUUAUUGUAGUGAGUUUAAGCGGAAGUUGGGAAGAGGUAAUUGCAACAAGGUUGAUUGGGAGGGUUGGGUUGGUUAAUAAAGUGGAGGCAAUGCUGUUGACACUAGUUGAAUUUUCUGCUGCCAUUUGAAGGAAGAAACACAAAGGUUGUUGGUUAUUCUUUCACUCGUGAGAGCUAUUACGGCUCUGAUACCAUAACAAGAAAUUAACUGAUGCAAAUGUUUGUAAGAAAGUUUCUGACUAUUCAUUUCACAGUGAAGGAAUAUAUACAUGUCUUGUACAGUCGAAGAGACACAGCAUGGAAGUCGUCAUCAAACUCUGAGACACCUAAGAACUAGUAGGAG
This 45134-nucleotide long non-coding RNA is filed under the name Citrus x clementina. RNAcentral describes it as "Citrus clementina (C. clementina) long non-coding RNA (CCLE_LNC002483)". Lineage: Eukaryota; Viridiplantae; Streptophyta; Magnoliopsida; Sapindales; Rutaceae. The record is from RNAcentral.